Molecule: long non-coding RNA, 57438 nt
Filed under: Triticum aestivum (bread wheat)
Lineage: Eukaryota; Viridiplantae; Streptophyta; Magnoliopsida; Poales; Poaceae
Description: long non-coding RNA (TAES_LNC000515)
Rfam family: MIR1120/MIR1122 microRNA precursor family (bases 9044-9130)
Source: RNAcentral
UGAGGAGCCGCGGCGCUUGCUGGCCGGCCGUGGCGCACAAGCCCUGGCUCGCGGUCAAGAAAGUGGAGGAGAGGAGAAAGCUGUAGUUGAUCUGGGUUCCAUGCCUUCUAUGAUUAGUAGUAAUAUCUGUAGUAGCAGUAGCUGGUUGUUCAAUGGUUGCUUCAGUGUUCUGAAUUUCUGAUGGGCAAACACUGUGUUUGCCGAGAUAUAUGAAUCCAGAGUUAACAAAAUUGUCCUAAAACCAUGGAUUAUUGCUAAUGACGAUGCUGUUCUGUUUUACAACUCUUUGUGCUCCUGCAUUUAGCCUGAUGCAAAUCCUGUGAUACGAUUGUUUUCCGGCGGUUCUGCAUUCUCUGUUCUUCAACUGCGUUCGCUGUCUAUCCGAUGGCGGUCUCCUGCAGAUCCAGCGACUCAUUGCUUGAAUAUUUUCUGCAAAUCUUGCCGUGUCUAAAUGUUACAAUCUACACAGUAGUUUUGAACGCUCCAUUAGCCGAUUGGUCCUCUUUGCUCGUAACCUGUUUAUAUUCUGUCUGCGUCUCCGUGCAGAUCUUAAUUUGUCAGUGUCAUAUAUAGUCAUAAAUUUGCACACGGUGUUCGUUUUGAUGUGCUUUUCUAUAUUAUUUUUGAACUGGGAAAUGCACCAGAGGCGCCAUCCUUAUUCAACUCAACAGUUGACAGGGCAUGUCUCGUGAGAAUGAGUUGAACUGAAACAACUAAAAACAGGUUCUGUUGAUCUAGUAGAGUAUUUAAUCAAAAACUACCACAAUUCAGGAAACCGUGCCUACAAAGUACCAUUUUAUGAUUUUGUCCCGAAAACUACCAUUUUUUUACUAAUCUGUGACUAAAAACUACCAUAUGUGUAAAUCAACCGAUUCAUCCAUUUUAAACGCGUUUAUGAUAGACCUGGCCCGCAUGUAUUUUUUUUAAUGUAAGGCACCUUAUCGGGGGGUUCUGAGCUGCUUGGCAGCGUAAUAGUACAAAGCCUUGUAAUGCUCCGGCCACGGUGCCGUUUGUACUGUGGGCGUGCUGGUCUUGCGACGUCCGCCACGACCACCACGGCCACAACGCCCAACACCACCACCAGGCCCAUCGGUGGCCAACCGCUUAUUGAGCUUCUCCUCCUUUAUGGCCUUCACUUUGACGCGUCGAGUUUGCCGCGUAGCCGAGCUGAUCUUCCGGGCGAGCGUGAUGCUCGGAUCCUCCGACACCUCCGCAGCUUCCAUCUCCGACGGUUCCAUGUGUCGGCGACGGAACGAAGGAGAGGGUGGGAGAAAGGAGCGGGAAUUAGGCAGGGAGCAGCGAGGGAUGGAAGAAGAGAGUGGGAGAUUUUGGCGUGAAAACAAUGCGGGUUGCUACAAAGGGCUNNNNNNNNNNNNNNNNNNNNNNNNNNNNNNNNNNNNNNNNNNNNNNNNNNNNNNNNNNNNNNNNNNNNNNNNNNNNNNNNNNNNNNNNNNNNNNNNNNNNNNNNNNNNNNNNNNNNNNNNNNNNNNNNNNNNNNNNNNNNNNNNNNNNNNNNNNNNNNNNNNNNNNNNNNNNNNNNNNNNNNNNNNNNNNNNNNNNNNNNNNNNNNNNNNNNNNNNNNNNNNNNNNNNNNNNNNNNNNNNNNNNNNNNNNNNNNNNNNNNNNNNNNNNNNNNNNNNNNNNNNNNACUCCUGCACCCCCUCCCCCACGUUUGAUUUCAGUUUGCGGAAUAAAACACGUCCGAACUGCUCGGCGGACCGAUACAGGCCCGCGUUGGAUGACUUCCAUUGAAGAUCCCCUUAGGUUUUUUUUACCGAAGCAGAAGUAAAAAAAAAAAGACCAUCAGGGGGUUCUAAAUUUUUUUUUUUUAAAUCGCUCCAUGUUUCCAACGCUCGCCGAUUUUUAUCCCACCACGGAAAACAUUGGUCCGUGAGUCGCAUCACGAGCCACCGACGCAGGAGUAGGCUGCACACUUCAACCAGCAUGGGAGCAUAUGUCGUAUCGCCAUGCCUCCAAGCUUGACUGGUUCCGCCGGGCGCACCAAGCCGAGCGCUUCCUCGAGUCCCGUCGGAGCGGCGCGCUACUGACGAUGCGUCAACAGUCAAGAUUGACUGCUAUACCAUUCGCGAACAAGUCCUUUGCUCCCAACUCCCAAGGAAAGACCUUUGUCCCGUUGGUGCGGGUCAGAUGCCCCGUACUUCAACUAACCUGCCGGCCGCUUUCCCCUACACUCAACAGAACCAGUUCAUCGUAGGCCCGGCGCUUCCCCCCUCAUUCUGUUGUGCCCAGGAUCCUUCGCGCCUGCUGCGAUCUGGAUUCGGAUGAUCAAUCGAGCAGCUUUUCGUCCGGUUCUUCCUGGAUGAUCCUCUAUCUGGUUGGGGAUUUUUCUUCGAUCGGCUUGUCCUCUUAAGAGGUAUGUUCAGUUCUGCUCCAGUUCGCGCGCAUCUCUGUUCUUAGGCUUAUGAAUUGGAUGGACACCAUCUUGGUACGGACGUUCGAUUUGGUGCGGAUCCUUUUUCUGCCUAUGUAUGCUUUUGAGGCUCAGAAGAGGAAAUACCUGUUACGACAAAGAAAUCUCAUACAUGUUGUAUGUUGGCGGUUUCUUCACAACUGAAUAUGUUUUUCUCUUCUGAUUAAUAAGAUUUCUGAGACGCGAAAUUUUCCACCUUUAGGACAUAUGCUUGGUUUAUUAAGAAUCUGCAGUGGUCAGUGUUCUACUUCUGAAUUCCAAUGAAGAACAAUAUUUGCGACGUAAUUGUAGAUUUGGAGAAUUUGCUAAUACAUUGGAUUGCUCACUGGAUUUCUGUCAAUAGCUUCAUCCUCAUAUGCAUAUUUCUGGUUCCGCUAGUACUUGAUACCAUAAAUCCACGGUUCUGACCCUCUCUUUUCUGUACCUUUCAUAGCAGAAAGAACGCUGCAAUUUCUUUGACACACAUCUCCAAGUUCAUCAUUCUCUGUCUCUGCUCAACCAAUAAUACAGACUUCAGUCACACAUAAAGAAAUGGGUCACACCAUUGGAGUUGCAGAUGAUGAAAUAGCAGACAUACCAUGUUCAGAUGCUUCACCAAUUCUGACCGAAUAUCACAUCACAGUCCCUACCCUUCACGAUGGACUAAUGCAAGGGGCAGACCAGCACGAGAGACGGCUUCUGGAUGUCCUCAAAGCAACGCCUUCAGUGCAAUGGCUGAAGGACAUCAACGUCUGCGGUCCACUGGGAAAAAUUCAGCUGCCAUCGAUCGGCGUCCACCGCUACCUCCAUGUCCACUUCAUCAGAACAGUCGACUGGAGCUCACUGCUCGCCAUCUGCAAGAACCACCUCAAGCAUCCUCUCAACAUCGCCCUACUCAUCUGGCUGCUCUGCGUCGCCGCCGCCGGCGCCAUGCUAGGACUGCUCCUGUUGGGGCUGCUGAACAAGGCAUUCCCUUCCAGGGCCUUGAGGCACCACUGGAUAGAGAUCGACAACCAGAUCCUCAACGCCCUCUUCACGCUCAUGAGCAUCUACCAGCAUCCCAUCCUCGUCCACCACCUCGUUCUCCUCUGCCGGUGGCGGCCGGAGGACGCCGCCCAGCUAAGGAAGGUGUACUGCAAGAAUGGCGCCCGCCGUCCCAACGAGCGAGCGCACAUGUCCUUCGUGGUGGCCCUCCUCCACGUCACCUGCAUCUCGCAGUACAUGGAGUGCAGCCUCUACUGGGGCUACCCAAGCAGGUCGCGCUCCGAGCUCGCGGAGAACUUCUUCUUCAUCCUCGGCGUCGCCGCGCCGGUCGUCGCCGGCGCUCACGCGGUGUACAGCCCUCUAGGCAGAGACGACGACGCCGCCGCCGCCUCCUGCGAAGAGACCAAGCAGCUCCACGCAGCCGGAGCCGAAGAAUCGCCGGAAGAAAUGACGGUGGUCGGCAACCCGAUGUGGGCGGGGGAGCUGCUGGACUGCGGCGAGGACCCGGCGGCGUGCUACCUGUCGUUCCUCUGCACCUUCUGCGUGUUCGGCUGGAACAUGGAGCGGCUGGGGCUGGGCAACAUGUACAUGCACACGGCCAUGUUCCUGCUGCUGUGCGUCGCGCCCUUCUGGGUGUUCAACGUCACGGCGCUCAGCAUCCACGACUACGCCCUCAGCGAUGCCUUCGGCGCCGCCGGGGUGGUGCUCUGCUUCCUCGGGCUCCUGUACGGGGGCUUCUGGAGGAUGCAGAUGAGGAAGCGGCUCGGGCUGCCCCGGAGCAGGUGGUGCUGCGGCUCGUCGUCGCUGACGGACUACGCGCAGUGGCUCCUCUGCUGGCCGUGCGCGCUCGCGCAGGAGGUGCGCACGGCGAACCUGUACGACCCGAGGGGCGACGGCGGUUUCUACGGGAAGCUGGUGGACGGCGGUGACCCGGAGCGAGGGCCGGACGUGCCGGUCUCCGCUGAAGUGCAGGAGGUGGUCGGCGGUGUUGUCAAUCCGACGGUGGACGGCGAGAUGAUCCCGCCCGUGCAGCCGGUGGUGGAGUCUGGACGGCAGAGGCAAGCCGGCCACGAAGAAAUUGUUGCAAAUGGCAGUAGCGUCCAGCUCAAAAGUUGACCGCAGCUGUUGGAUGGUGACUGAUGCUGUAGAGUAUUCGCAAGCUGACGGAUAUAUUCUUCCUUUUUGGGGGAUCGAUGUCACCAUUUUGACAUUGUUAUGCUCCUGGUUUGUCAUGCUCUGCACGGGACUUUAGGUCGUUAUAAGUCAUUAGUUAGUCCAGUUUUAUUCAGAUCAGCUACCUUGACACUCCAACAGAUGUCAUCUUUCAUCGAUUCUUUUCGUAUUGCACGUUACUGGAAGAAGAAGAAGAAAGCCUCUCGUGAUUAUUUUGAGAGGCUCCUACUAUGACGAUGAUGAUGCAAUAUAAAAUCAUGCGUAAGCCUCUGGGCAAAGAAUAAGGGCAUGUACAAUGAUGGCAUAUGGAUACAGAUGCCCCAUGACAAAAAGUAGUUUGAGGCAUCUACAUUUAUUUUUUCUCCUCAAUGCAAGCUACCAUUAGUGGGCCUCAUUAAGAAAUAGAAAAUAAAGACUUUAGUACACAUGCAUCUCUAUUUUUCACUCCAACCUUUUCAGCUUUUGAUCCCGGACCACACUUUUCCUCUCCAAGCACCUGCCUCCUCGAGAGGAUCCCGCUUUCCUAUCCGAACCUACUUUACGUCAUAUCCGAUCCUACAUGGCAUGCGAGGCAUCACCCUGAGGCUAUGCAUUGUACAUGCCCUAAUGUACCAUGUCAUCUAGUGUGUUCCAGUAACUCCAGAAAGAUUUAGCUGGACCCAGUUCAAAAGUAGAUUCUUGCGCGUUUCAUGGUAGCCUUGGGCAACCUGUGGAGUCCCUCUCCGAGUGUGAAAGAAAUGCUCAAACGCCCUGCCUUCACGAUGACAGCUUUAAAGCGAACCGAUGCUAUGUGCUUUGUCGUUCACGGUGGAGAACAAAAGUUCGCCGUUGCUUGUGGAAAAGAGAAAGGUUCAGACGCAGUAUAUAAGCUCCAGGAUACAGAGAGACUGUGAAACCUCUCCACUUCAGACUUCAGAGCUGCCUGGGAAGUGGUGGCUGCACCUGCACAGUAGCAGUCUCCUGUUCAGUUCUACUCGCCGAGAAACCAAGCCAUGGCUGUAAGUUACUGGUCAGAUCUUCUGUUUAUUCAACAGUAUGUAUGCAUGUAUCUGAAGAACUACUGUGCGUAUAGAAAUGGAAAGUUGAUUUCAUGGAUGGAUGCUUGCAGGUGGUGGAGUUGAAGGUCGGGAUGCACUGCGACAGGUGCAUCAAGUCGAUCAAGAAGGCGAUCAAAACGAUCGAUGGUACGAAAGCCUCUGAUCCACUCGACAAAACACAGCCUCACUUUCCAUACUUUGCAGUAUAUGGUUAAUUAUUAACCCUGGUUUGUGCGUGCGUAUGCGCAGACAUGGAGAGCUACCAGCUCGAGAAGGAGACGAACAAGGUGACCGUGACGGGGAAUAUCACCCCGGAGGAAGUGGUGAAGGCUCUGCAGAAGAUCGGGAAGACGGUAACUUACUGGGGUGAGUGAAGAACAGAGCCCAGAGGAAGACGAGCCACACGGUAACAACUUAUUGUUACUGGGAGUGCGGACUAUAGAGCCCACGUAGUUAGCUAGCUAGUUAGUAUUAGCUCAUGUGCUUACCAUGGGAUAUCAGGAGCUAUUUAUACUGCAGAUCGGGUAAUUCUGGUGAGUUUCUUUGAACUGGUAGAUGUUGGUUCUUCCCUCGCUUGAUCCCAUAUUGACCGCGGCGUCGUCGUGUUGGGUUAACUCUUCUGUAUUGCGUAUACUGAACUCAUGGCAAAGUCUUGUAGAGGAUGAACCCAACUUUUGUACGUUUUCACGGGGAAUAUAUGUAUGAAAGGAGUGAUAUAACUGUCAGGAUUAGUUUCAGACUUCCAGUUUUCAUCUUAACGAACAGAUGUCUCAGCUGGACUGGCUGACCGUGCUAACGUUGAUUGAUUGAUUGAUACUACGAGUAGCAAGCAAGCCACCCCUUAUCCAUUCAGCAAUCAUACAGAUACAGUUGCAUCGUAACAGCAAGAUCGGUCCUUCGUCGACAUCGAUCCAACUAUAUACUACUAGUGUCCAUAGUCAAUAAAGGGUACCCUUUUUCAGAAAAUAAAAAAAGUUAAAGAUCGAAUACAUCUAUCAGUACGCAAUUCAAACGGCUUCGUUUUUAGAUCUUUCUUUAAGUUUUGUUAGGGGUUUUUGUCCUGAUCAGGAAGUUGAGAUAGUGACGGCUCUCUGAAGAUAAAAUAAGGUUCUUUUUGUCUAGCCCAUGUUUUGGUGAUGCGUCUAGCAUCAUCGGUAAACGUGUGAAGGUGUGUCUCCGCUGGAUCUAUCUUUGGUGGAUCCUUCCAAUCAACGCUACUCUUUAUCGGCGGCGGUUGCUGCUUUGGUGCGCUGGUCUUAUAAUGCUUUAGCAUGACGAUUUUUCGACUGUCUACUACAAUAAGUUUUGUCCGGCUCUGGUGAUGUAGGGGCGAUGACGGCGGCGCGCCUUCGGCUCUCUUCAGUGCUUCUAGUCGUUGCUAGGUGGUCUACUGAUCUGGAUGCAAUUUUGAUUAUUUUUUGUGUUCGUUUUACUGUCAUGAUUACACAUGAAUAGAUAGAAAGUUUUUCUUAAAAAUAAAAUAAAAUAAAAAAUAUGCUAUCCAAACACAGAAUCGGUACUUCCGCGAAGACACGAAACCAUAAAACUUGAGAACUACCGAAGACAUUUGCCGGUGCACUGAUGAAGAUGACAACAAAACCCUGAGAUCGAUAGAUAUACCGGUGUAGGGUAGAUCCACGACGACGACGACCUGUUCGACGUACUCGUGGUGCUUCAAAGUUCAAACUGGCCAGCCGUUCUCACAAGAAAACGCCAUCAAUUCGUUCGUUUGCCCUCAGCUCUCCUCUUCCGUGCAUACAUGCAUGCGUAGACACCUCUGCUUCGUUGCUGUCCCCGCGGCGGAGGCAGCGGCAUGCAUGCAUGCGUGCACCUUCCCCGCUUCUGCCGCCGGCGCCACCACCGCAGUCCGCAGAGGAAAGUCCUGCGCCACCGGUACGUACGUUCGGCCGGGUGCAGAGAACCGCAGCCUCGCCCCCACCCGGUACACGUCGCACGUGUAUGCGCGCGCGUCCGUGCCCAUCGCGCUGCCGGCCGCCGAGCUCGCAUGCCAGCAGCAUGCAGUUGCGUCCCGCUCUUCUCUUCUCUUCGUCCUCCGCCCGCCUUUCUGCCGAGAAGGCUCCCGGUCACGUCUCGCCGAGGAAACGUGCGCUGCUCUGGCAUGGAAGAACACGUCAGGUCAGGGCCUCGUGGCGGUCCAGAGCCAAGCCGCGGCCGCCACGGCGUCGCCGCAUCCCGCGUGCACCAGCACCCGUGUAUGCCCAUAUACAGUGGACCGAAAGAAACGGGCAGGACAAACGCAGAGUAGAUAUCACCGUUGUGCCGCGCCGUACUGCCGUCGCGUCGGGUUACCGAUGAUCGAAGAAACAGGUCGAUCGCCGGUUAAGAACAUGUGGGCCGGGAAGGAUCAGUGGGUCAAAACAGUGAUCGAUAGGGUCGGUCGCUGAUCGAUCUUAGCCGUGGCGCCUUCCGAGAAAGGUGGGAGACAGAAACGUUGCUCCCUUCGAGGAAGGAGGGGGAGCUGUGGAAAAGACGUCCCGAAGGGGAAGCCUACGGCUCACGGAAGAGCGGGGCAGGACCGCACGAAGAUAGCGAAACGCCGUAUGGAAACGUCUGCCCGUGGGCCCGUCGAUGGAUGGAUCAGUCCACGGCGAAAAAAUGGACCGGCGUUUCUUACGUCUUCGUGCCCACACAAGGCCACAACUAAUGGAUAAUUACUCACAUGACCUUCUUUCAGUUUUUUUCCUUGUAUAUAUUGUGAAAGGUAGAGGCAUUGUUAUGAGCUUCAUGCUGACAUGUAUAUCUUUUUUGUUUGAGUUGGAAUUGUUGUAAUCCUAUAUAUGUUACAGAGUGACCCAACUAUCUUAUUUAUCUGAACAUGCAAGUACGUCAUCUUAUCAUACAACCAUGAAUGAGAUAUGACUCAACUCAACAUGCAACCAUGCAUGUUAAAAGACCGACCAUAAUAUUCAACCAUCCAAGAAAAAUAUUUUACAUUCAGUAGUAUAUUCAAUAAAUAUUUUACAACUAUACAUAAUACAGUAUAAUAAGUCAUAUGUAUCUUUAAAUUUUGCUUCUAAUGUCAUCAACACAAAUUUUCAUUAACCAAUUCCCGAAAAAAAACGUGUGGAGUAUCCUCUAGUUUGUUAAAAAGUCACGACAACUUCUGAGGCAACCACUACACUAACACACGCCAGAGGGACAUGGAACAAAGUUUUACAAAGCUUAUUAGUACAACCUUCCCUAGCCGAGCUAUGAGCGACUUUAUUCGCCGUGUGUCGCACCCAACUUACUUUGGACUCCUCAAAACCCUGCGGAAGUCCUUUCACCUCUUGAACAAUCUGUCUGUAUAUCUGGCAGUGGAGUUAGAAUUAGACUAGAGCACCGUGUCGUGUAUCUCUGGCUCCAUCCGUAUGUAUUUCGUUGUCCUGCUCUUCCUCAUUCUUCCUUUUCCUUGACAUGUUUCCCCUCCUCUACUCUUUUACUCCCUCCGUAAGGAAAUAUAAGAGCGUUUAGAUCACUAAAGUAGUGAUCUAAACGCUCUUAUAUUUCUUGACAGAGGGAGUACAUCUUUUUCUGGGCUUAAGAUCCAAUGACUUCUCCCGGCAAAGUCACAAUGUAACUUACCCUUUUAUAUACACGGUUAAAACUAGACCGACGACACAUAAUGAAUGGGAACCAAGAAUAGGAAGACUUGACAUGACACCCACUUUGAUAAAAACCAACCUAUUUUUUUUUCAAAACUUGUGGAUGUACACCGCCAUAUGAGAUCCGAAUAGAUAUAUUUUUACAUACAUAUCGAUUUGUUUUUGUUUGUUUCGAGGAAUUGGCGGGAGCACUACCUUUUCAUUAAGUCUAAAGGUAGGGUUUAUGCACAGAGAGGACUAGUAAUUAGGGAACACAUAAAAACCCCAAAGACAGGGUUUUUAUGUAUAGAGAGGGUUUAUAAUACCGUUAAUGUAAAUGGGGCUCUAAUGGAAAGAGUGGCAAAAGUGAAACUACAAACGCAAGGCUAGAAGCAAGAUAGGUACUCAUGGAAAAUGUAUGGAAAUCCAAAAGGGAAACAUCGAGAAUGGUUGGAGUUGUGCUCUUUUUAGCCUCUCUGCCUUUGCAUUUUUUCUUCUUCUAUGAACUAUAAAUGGCAUAUAUUUGGUUAAAAGUCAUAGGUUCACAUUCAAUACGAUAAAUGUAUGCCCACAUAUCAUUUUCACACUUUUCAGAGAAACAUAAAAUGUUACUCUCUUUAAAGUCAAUGUCAUAGACUCUUACUAAGGAUCCAAAUAGUCGGGGAGGUGUUUUAUGAAUUAGCAUACAAUAUUCCAAGGUAUUGCAUCUUGAUUGGUUAACUUAGGAUCAAAUAUAUACAUAUCGUUUAAACAAUCACUAGCAUGUUGUUUAUUGUUAAACAAAUAGAGAAAUCUCACGUUACACAUUAAUUCUCUAUAUGAACCAGUUGUUUCCAGUGACUUAAAUACGCGAUUGUACGACACUCGUCUCCAAUAUCAUGGUGAUCAGUUUACUAAAGUUGGGCAUAACUGAAUAAUAAAAAUACAAUGAAUUUACUGUUAACUAGAGAUGAUUUCAUGUUGACCCACAAAAUAUGUCGAGUAUCAUGUUCGCAUCAGUAUUUCCAAACUCUGUCAAUCAAAUUUUGUGAAACUUUUGGAUGUUUCGGCGACAUUGCAACAACAUUUUACUAGGAUAGUUACAUCUUCUUGUUUUCUUUUAUUUUUGGCCUACAUAAGUUUUGUUGAAUCAACUUACGUGGCCAAAUUUUGCCACGAUUGCAACUUUUUCCAGGUAAGGUGUGGUAUUUACACGCCCUGAUUCGGAAGCACAUAUUUUUUUUCAACAAUGAACCUAGCUUACAAGUGAACUAUAGUCAUGUUUUUUACAUGACAUGCAAUGAAUUCACUAGCUAGUGUAAAUUAAGCAACACCUACAUCUAAUACAUUGUAAUAUAACUGUUUUACAUUAUGAGUAAAGACAUGUGUAUCGAAUCCAUAGCACGAUCAACAUCAUUGUCAUUGGCGGCAAUCCAAAUUUGGUUGGUAUUUGUUUAGCAAAUCUUUUUUGAUAAACUUAUUUUUUGCAAAAAUUAGCAAAAGUGAAAUAAUCGUAUGAACUUGAGGCUUAGUGACGGUUAACAUUAUCAAUCAAUGUGUAGAUGCAAACAACUGCAUUUAAGGAACACGGAUGGUCUCGAAGAUGGCUGUCAGUCUUCAGUGAAAUGACAAGAAAACAUUUUUUUUCAAUCGUGAAUUGGAGCAUGUAUUUUCCUGCUGAAUUUGUCUUACUGUUUGGUUCUCUAUUGGAUUUAGCAAACUUCUCUAACCGAGUCAAAUUCCACAAUUUCUAAGAACCUGAGUGGGCAUCCAGGAGGCACAAUAAACAGUUACAAGCUGGAGAAUCCACUAGUAGGUCAGCUACCGGUGCCAUCCGAAAUUUCUUUCGAUUAGGAAGAAUGAUUAAGGAGAGGUAAAAAUAUGCUGUGAAUAGGAUUGGUUAUGUAUUUAAUAUGAGAGUAUUUAGGUGGUAGUCUUACUUACACAACCCUAGGGUAAGGAUCAUGAAAUUAGAUUAGAUACAUUUGGAUGUUGGGAUAAAAAAUUAUAGAAAAGGGCACACUUUAUAUUACACUAUAUAAAAGAAUAAAAAAGUAGUUUUUUUCAAUCAACCCACACGGUUAAAUGAUAGAUUAAUGGCGGUGGUAUGUAGGGUGUCAAAAAUUGAAGUCUAAAAUUUGUGGUGUACUCAUUUUGAUAUUUAUAGGAGCAUUACUAUCUUCUAGAAGAUAUAUCUUCAGGNNNNNNNNNNNNNNNNNNNNNNNNNNNNNNNNNNNNNNNNNNNNNNNNNNNNNNNNNNNNNNNNNNNNNNNNNNNNNNNNNNNNNNNNNNNNNNNNNNNNNNNNNNNNNNNNNNNNNNNNNNNNNNNNNNNNNNNNNNNNNNNNNNNNNNNNNNNNNNNNNNNNNNNNNNNNNNNNNNNNNNNNNNNNNNNNNNNNNNNNNNNNNNNNNNNNNNNNNNNNNNNNNNNNNNNNNNNNNNNNNNNNNNNNNNNNNNNNNNNNNNNNNNNNNNNNNNNNNNNNNNNNNNNNUAAAUUUCAACUAAACAACCAGAAUAGCAAGUUUUUAGUGUUACACGGGAGUGAGCAACGAGAAAGCCCUACCGACGUAGAUCGUCGAAACAUGCGAAGCAGGAGGCCACAUCUCCCUUGUGAUGCAACGGGAGAUGAUUUGCAUCAUCCCGACACCAACAUCGCAGGUUUUAGAGGGAGGCCACAUCAUCAUUGAAGGUGACGCCAUUCUUAUGCUUUCAUAGUCACCAAUAGCACACGAGCACGAAAGUGGAGGAGGUGCGAUGUGGGACCUCUAGGAGGUUCGCGACAUCAAACUCAUGCGGCGACGCCACGAAGGCCAGAGUACCAGGAGGAAUACCGAUAAAAGUAUACAAAAUAGAUUUCUAACUAGUUUGUUCAAUGUUUGUGUCACAUGCAAAUCAAAGCAUUUUCGUUGUUUCUUUUUCUUUUUUUGCAAGGAAAGGGCUUUUUGUCGUGAGUGUUGUGCUUCUUUCGGAUAUAAACGCAUAUACAAUUUUACUUGUUAAUUUCUAAAUUUAAAUUUUAUCUUGUUAUAAUUGCGACCCACGAUCUAAUCAACGGGUGAGAUAAAUUCACCUAUGUGAAUGAAUGUGAUGGCCUAUUUGCAUCUUGUCUAACAUAAUAAACAUACAUUUCAAUAUGCAUGAGGUAAUAGUCUUACGUUCAAACCAAGUGAGGAGUCACUAUACAGGUUUACUUAUCUCAUGACAACCACUCCUAUCAAAGUAGUUAAAUUUUAAAAGGAGGGCAGUCCCGAUUAACUAGAAAAGAGGUCAGCCAGUAGAAUUAUUUAACCCAUGCAUGUCGAAAGAUAUUGGUGGGCGCAACUUUGGGUCCUGGUUGAAACAACAAUAAAGAAGAAAAUCAGAGGAUUAAAUUAUAUGUGUGGUGUCACUUUAAGAAGGAAAGAAUAACUUUUCAAAACAUUAUUUGAAAAUUCUACCGAAUGGACUAUUUUCUUUCGUAUAGGAGUUGAAAACACAUGUCAUCGAAAGAUACUUUUUGAAGUUUGUUUGUGUUUAUAAAGUUCUUGCUCCACUGCAAUUGAGUACAAUGAUCAGUGAUCAGAGCAAGAACAAAAACGGAUAUAAAACGAAGAACAACCACAAAAGGCAGCCAAGCAAAGCAAGCAUAGCAUGGACAUGACAAACUCAGUGGCACCAUAUAUGUACAAGAACAUAGCUCCAAACAGUAAAUCGGAUCGAAGCAUCAUAAUUAAACUAGUAUUGCGUUCUGUCUCUUAGCUUCAAUCAUGCUGAUUUAAUCCCCUCAACACUUGUUUAGAACCAAGGAGUACAAUCCACGCUGGACGUUGGAACAGGUCAAAGAAAUGAGCCACGACCACCAACUCCUCCGCUCACCCAGAACCAUACCCGCACCCGCACCAGUGUGUCAGGACGCCUGCCACGUCGCCCCCACUCGGCGGCAUGGCUCGUCGCUACUGGUGGGUACCUCCCGUCAGCCCGUCUCUCGUCGCUCGUUAGCCUAACGCGCCGCCAGUCAAACGGCACGAGGUUUGACCAGUCCACGGUCAAAGUUUCCAAAGCUCUAUAUAGUCCUCCUCCCCCGUUCCGUCCAAGCAAUCCAACCGAUCGCCCCUCUCCCCCUCCGCCUCCUCCCCCCUCUCCCUCGCCGUACGUACACGCCGGACGCAGACACGCCGGCGAGACGACCGUCGUACGCCGUAACUCACACGCGCGCAAUUUUGGAUCAGAGUCCUCUCCGAUGACUACCUCGUCGUCAGGGAGCGUGGAGACGUCGGCCAAUUCGAGGCCCGGCUCCUUCUCCUUCGGGAGCGCGAGCUUCACUGAAAUGCUGGGCGGCUCCGCCGCGGCCGGCGGUGCGUCCGGGUACAAGGCCCUGACCCCGCCUUCCCUGCCGCUCUCGCCUUCGCUCAUGUCCCCGUCGUCCUUCUUCAGCAUGCCCGCCGGCAUGAACCUCGCCGACUUCCUCGACUCCCCGGUGCUCCUCACCUCCAGCGUAAGCAAGCGCGCCAUGGAAUUCCGCUGGCGCCAUGUCAUCCGACUGAAUUCGUGUCGCUGAUUCGCGGUUUUGGUUGGUCGUUUCAGAUCUUCCCGUCACCCACGACGGGCGCGUUCGGGUCGCAGUUCAACUGGCGGCCGGAGGCGCCGACGCCGAGCGCCGCCGAGCAGGGCGGCAAGGAGGAGCAGAGGCAGCCCUACUCCGACUUCUCGUUCCAGACGGCGCCGGCGAACACCGAGGAGGCCGCGCGUGCGACGACGACUAGCUUGCAGCCACCGGUUGCAGUGGCGUCACAGGUGAGAUCACGAACCAUGCGGACUUUGUCAAAUAAGUAUAAACUAGUUGCACUAGAAUACCAUUUUUCUUCAUUCCGCGUCCACAAACGGAGCACCUGUCGCGCUGUCGUGUCAUGAUCUUUUCAUUUUUAUAAGAUGGCUGUGAGAAAUAGUCCCCGUGAUAGCGAUUGAUUAGCGGCAACCCCAACAGCGCACGAGAGAUUCCCUAAUUUUAAAUUAUCCUUUGCAAUGAUUCAGGGGGAGGAGGCGUACACAGGCCAGCAGCCGCCGCAGCAGCAGGCGUGGGGGUACGGCCAGCAACAAGAAGGCAUGGACGCGAGUGCCUCCAACCCGGCGAGCUUCAGCGCGCCGGCGCUCCAGGCGACCUCGUCGGAGAUGGCGCCGGCGGGCGCCUACAGGCAGACGCACUCGCAGAGGCGGUCGUCGGACGACGGGUACAACUGGCGCAAGUACGGGCAGAAGCAGGUGAAGGGGAGCGAGAACCCCCGCAGCUACUACAAGUGCACCUUCCCCAACUGCCCCACCAAGAAGAAGGUGGAGACGUCGCUGGAGGGCCAGAUCACCGAGAUCGUCUACAAGGGCACGCACAACCACGCCAAGCCGCUCAACACGCGCCGGGGCUCCGGCGGCGGCGCGGCCGCGGCUCAGGUGCUGCAGAGCGGCGGCGACGCGUCCGAGAAUUCCUUCGGCGCGAUCGUCACGACGCCCGAGAACUCGUCGGCGUCCUUCGGGGACGACGACAACAACGGCGUGAGCUCGCCGCGGGCUGGCAACGACAACGACGAUGAUGAGCCGGAUUCCAAGAGGUGAGCGCCGAAUUGUACUUUAAAUAUAUUUUUGGAUUCAAUGUGUAUGUACGAGUUGCAUUCUUGGAGGAACAGGGGAAAUUAACCUGCUAUCGGCCAAAUUUUCAGGAGGAAAGACGGUGGUGACGGCGAGGGAAUCAACAUGGCCGGCAACCGGACGGUGCGGGAGCCGAGGGUGGUCGUCCAGACCAUGAGCGACAUCGACAUCCUCGACGACGGGUACCGGUGGAGGAAGUACGGGCAGAAGGUGGUGAAGGGCAACCCGAACCCGCGCAGCUACUACAAGUGCACCACCGUGGGGUGCCCCGUGCGGAAGCACGUGGAGCGCGCGUCCCACGACCUGCGCGCCGUGAUCACCACGUACGAGGGCAAGCACAACCACGACGUGCCGGCCGCCAGGGGGAGCGCCGCGCUCUACCGCCCCGCGCCCCGGGCGGCGGACAGCACCGCGAGCACCGGCCACUACCUUAACCCGCAGCCGUCCGCCAUGGCGUACCAAACCAGCACGGGAGGCCCCAACGUCGCCGCCGCCGGGACGCAGCAGUACGCGCCGAGGCCCGACGGGUUCGGCGGCCAGAACCAGGGCUCGUUCGGCUUCAACGGCAGCUUCGGCUUCUCCGGGCCCGGGUUCGACAACCCGACGGCGUCGUACAUGAGCCAGCACCAGCAGCAGCAGAGGCAGAACGACGCGAUGCACGCGUCGAGCGCCAAGGAGGAGCCGAGGGAGGAGGACAUGUUCUUCCAGAACUCCCAGUACUGACCAGCGAGUGUCAGAAAUGGCAAACCACACGGCGAGAUGGAGCUUUAUCCUGUAAUAAUACGUAAUUGUACUAGGAUAGGCGUAGACACAUUCGUUUAUUUGUUGGGAGGCACAUAGUUGCAGAGGGCUGCACAAAAGGGCUCCCUUCCUUGACACGUCGGAGUAAAGAAAAUAUUUAGGACUGUAGCAUACACACAAGAUAGGGGGUUGAAGCAGUUUUGCUUUGCCAUUGUUUCCACCUCCACAUAGAAGUAUGUUGUUGAAUUCAAAUUUUAGUAAUAGCAGAAAUUUGUCAUUAUUCAAGUUUCACAGUGUGAAUGAUGAGAUAGUGGUAUGUUUUAUUCUCAGCGACAGCGUACCAGACCUCAGAUGUACUUAUUGUAAAUUUGUAAUCCAAUCAUUUUGUAGUUGCACAGGCUAUAGACUGAACAAUCAAACAAUACAUACCGAAUUAUGGUUUGGCAGCUAAAAAAAAGUCCACUUUAUAAGCCCGAACUUGCCACCCGGAUGAACAUUCAACCCCCAACUUCAAAAUCGGUCAUCCCACAUUCCGAACUAACCAACCGUUUAGAAAUCACCACCCAUGCACUCCCACCCCCCUCCCCGGCGGUUUCGACCGACUUCAUCGAUUUUGACCGUGGUGACUGCCGAGUUAGCCCGCCACGCCAGCUCCUUAAUGUGGAACCACACAGAUCAAACACCUCCAUUGCUUCUUGCCAGCUCCGGCCUUCCCAACCACCCGAGGUAUUGUUGCACAUGUGCUUCGGACCGUUGAUGUCUACUACACAACCUUCUUCUUGUAGACGUUGUUGGGCCUCCAAGUGCAGAGGUUUGUAGGACAGUAGCAAAUUUCCCUCAAUUAGAUGACCUAAGAUUUAUCAAUCCGUGGGAGGUGUAGGAUGAAGAUGGUCUCUCUCAAGCAACCCUGCAACCAAAUAACAAAGAGUCUCUUGUGUCCCCAACACACCCAAUACAAUGGUAAAUUGUAUAGGUGCACUAGUUCGGCAAAGAGAUGGUGAUACAAGUGCAAUAUGGAUGGUAGAUAUAGGUUUUUGUAAUCUGAAAAUAUAAAAACAGUAAGGUAACUAAUGAUAAAAGUGAGCACAAACGGUAUUGCAAUGCGUUGAAACAAGGCCUAUGGUUCAUACUUUCACUAGUGCAAGUUCUCUCAACAAUAAUAACAUAAUUGUAUCACAUAACUAUCCAUCAACAUACAACAAAGAGUCACUCCAAAGCCACUAAUAGCGGAGAACAAACGAAAAGAUUAUGGUAGGGUACGAAACCACCUCAAAGUUAUUCUUUCGGAUCGAUCUAUUCAAGAGUUCGUACUAGAAUAACACCUUAAGACACAUAUCAACCAAAACCCUAAUGUCACCUAGAUACUCCAAUGUCACCUCAAGUAUCCGUGGGCAUGAUUAUACGAUAUCCAUCACACAAUCUCAGAUUCAUCUAUUCAACCAACACAAAAGUACUUCAAAGAGUGCCCCAAAGUUUCUACCGGAGAGUCAAGACGAAAACGUGUGCCAACCCUUAUGCAUAAGUUCAUGGGCGGAACCCGCAAGUUGAUCACCAAAACAUACAUCAAGUGGAUCACGUGAUAUCCCAUUGUCACCACAGAUAAGCACGGCAAGACAUACAUCAAGUGUUCUCAAAUCCUUAAAGACUCAAUCCGAUAAGAUAUCUUCAAAGGGAAAACUCAAUCCAUUACAAGAGAGUAGAGGGGGAGAAACAUCAUAAGAUCCAACUAUAAUAGCAAAGCUCGCGAUACAUCAAGAUCGUGCCAACUCAAGAACACGAGAGAGAGAGAGAGAGAGAGAGAGAGAGAUCAAACACAUAGCUACUGGUACUUACCCUCAGCCCCGAGGGUGAACUACUCCCUCCUCGUCAUGGAGAGCGCCGGGAUGAUGAAGAUGGCCACCGGUGAGGGAUCCCCCCUCCGGCAGGGUGCCGGAACAGGGUCCCGAUUGGUUUUUGGUGGCUACAGAGGCUUGCGGAGGCGGAACUCCCGAUCUAUUCUGUUCCCCGAUGGUUUUAGGGUAUAUGGAUAUAUAUAUAUAUAUAUAUAUAGGCGAAAGAAGUCGGUCAGGGAAGCCACGAGGGGCCCACGAGGGUGGAGGGCGUGCCGAGGAGGGUAGGGCGCGCCUCCCUGCCUCGUGGCUUCCUCGAAGCUUCCUUGACGUCUACUCCAAGUCUCCUGGAUUGCUUCCAUUCCAAAAAUAACUCUCCCGAAGGUUUCAUUCCGUUUGGACUCCGUUUGAUAUUCCUUUUCUUUGAAACACUGAAAUAGGCAAGAAAACAUCAAUUUGGACUGGGCCUUCGGUUAAUAGGUUAGUCCCAAAAAUAAUAUAAAAGUGUUUAGUAAAGCCCAUAAACAUCCAAAACAGAUAAUAUAAUAGCAUGAAUACUUCAUAAAUUAUAGAUACGUCGGAGAAGUAUCAACCGUUCUGUCGCGCUGAUCAACCCGAUGCCCCACCCCGCCUCGUCGCUGCCCCCCUCCCCUCCCGCCGCUCAUCCGCAACAACUACUUUCCUCCCCAAGCCACAACAACCCAUGAUCCACACAACCACAACCCGACGUUGUGUCAUCAUGGCUCAUACUCCUCGUCGCGCAUCGGCAUGCCCCCCGGAGGCCGCGGAGAUCUAGCAUCGUUGCUCCCACUGAUGAUGCACGCCGUCCUCCUACGCCUCUUAGCUGAUGGAUUCGAGUGAUCCGCCUCGUGCUUUCCCUGGUGGCAAGUGGGCACUGUCAGUGGGUGGAACCAAACAUGGGCAAGAGAGAAGUCGCGCGCGUCCAGGGACCAAUUGUCGUGUUCACGUGCCCGCCGAGGAAGAGCCCACCGAUGCCGCAUCAACGCUGAAGGAAGGCAAGCGGCUUCAAGAACAAGCUGGAGAGAGCGAUACUCACGACCUGACUGGUGGCAGUCUGGUCCAGUGGGGAUGGAGGGGUGCGUUGCUGCCGCCACCAGUCAGGAGAAAGAGAGAGCGAGAGAGAGAGCGAGAGAGAGAGAAGGUACAUAAUGUGUCAAGAAAUAUAGGGGUCAACAGCUAACCUGACGAUGCUGACUAGGUAGUCAACAUGGUCAAAACUGCUCCAUCGAGUCAAAACCAUACGCCGAGGGAGGGAGGGGAAGGAGUCAUUCCAAAACCACAUGGUUAGUUUGGGGUGCGGAUGAUUGGUUUUGAAGUUGACGGUUGAAUGUCAAACCUAGUAAAAAAAUCGCGAUUGUAAAGUGAACUCUGUGAAAAGGGUUUGGCAAUUGUCCGAUAGCAGAUGUUCCCUUUGUGAGGUAUACAAAUAAGAACAUCUCUAGCAGAUCCCUCUAAAACUCGCACGUCUCGGUCAAUUCUGAUAGAUAUGCGGGUUUGGGCUUUUUUUUGUUGGGGAACAUAGUAAUUUCAAAAAAUUUCCUACGCACACGCAAGAUCAUGGUGAUGCAUAGCAACGAGAGGGGAGAGUGUUGUCCACGUACCCUCGUAGACCGAAAGCGGAAGCGUUAUGACACCGCGGUUGAUGUAGUCGUACAUCUUCACGAUCCGACUGAUCCAAGUACCGAACACACGGCACCUCCGAGUUCAGCACACGUUCAGCUCGGUGACGUCCCACGAACUCACGAUCCAGCAGAGCUUCAAGGGAGAGUUCCGUCAGCACGACGGCGUGAUGACGAUGAUGAUGAUGCUACCGACGCAGGGCUUCGCCUAAGCACCGCUACGAUAUGACCGAGGUGGAUUAUGGUGGAGGGGGGCAAAAGAUCAACUGAUCAACUUGUGUGUCUAUGGGGUGCCCCCUCCCCCGUAUAUAAAGGAGUGGAGGAGGGGGAGGGGCAGGCCCUCCUAGGCGCGCCCCAAGGGGAGUCCUACUCCUACCGGGAGUAGGACUCCAACCCUUCCAAGAGUAGGAGUAGGAGAGAGGGAAGGAGGAGAGAGGGGGAAGGAAAGGGGGGCGCCGCCCCCCCUCCUUGUCCAAUUCGGACUAGAGGGGGAGGGGGCGCGCGGCCUGCCCUGGCCGCCCCUCCUCUUCUCCACUAAGGCCCAAUAGGCCCAUUACACUCCCCGGGGGGUUCCGGUAACCCCCCGGUACUCCGGUAUUUGUCCGAACUUGCCCGGAACCCUUCCGAAGUCCAAACAUAGUCAUCCAAUAUAUCGAUCUUUAUGUAUCGACCAUUUCGAGACUCCUCGUCAUGUCCGUGAUCAUAUCCGGGACUCCGAACUACCUUCGGUACAUCAAAACACAUAAACUCAUAUUACCGAUCGUCACCGAACGUUAAGCGUGCGGACCCUACGGGUUCGAGAACUAUGUAGACAUGACCGAGACUCGUCUCCGGUCAAUAACCAAUAGCGGAACCUGGAUGCUCAUAUUGGUUCCUACAUAUUCUACGAAGAUCUUUAUCGGUCAAACCGCAUAACAACAUACGUUGUUCCCUUUGUCAUCGGUAUGUUACUUGCCCGAGAUUCGAUCGUCGGUAUCUCAAUACCUUGUUCAAUCUUGUUACUGACAAGUCUCUUUACUCGUUCCGUAAUACAUCAUCCCGCAACUAACUCAUUAGUUGCAUUGCUUGCAAGGUUUAUAGUGAUGUGCAUUACCGAGAGGGCCCAGAGAUACCUCUCGGACAAUCGGAGUGACAAAUCCUAAUCUCGAUCUAUGCCAACUCAACAAGUAUCAUUGGAGACACCUGUAGAGCACCUUUAUAAUCACUCAGUUACGUUGUGACAUUUGGUAGCACACAAAGUGUUCCUCCGGUAUUCAGGAGUUGCAUAAUCUCAUAGUCAUAGGAACAUGUAUAAGUCAUGAAGAAAGCAAUAGCAAUAUACUAAACGAUCGAAUGCUAAGCUAACGGAAUGGGUCAAGUCAAUCACAUCAUUCUCUAAUGAUGUGAUCCCGUUAAUCAAAUCACAACUCAUGUCUAUGGCCAGGAAACUUAACCAUCUUUGAUUCAACGAGCUAGUCAAGUAGAGGCAUACUAGUGACACUCUGUUUGUCUAUGUAUUCACACAUGUAGUAAGUUUCCGGUUAAUACAAUUCUAGCAUGAAUAAUAAACAUUUAUCAUGAUAUAAGGAAAUAUAAAUAACAACUUUAUUAUUGCCUCUAGGGCAUAUUUCCUUCAUUUUUUUGCCCCAAUAGCCACCACACAUUGGCCCUGCCUGGAUAAAAAUAUCUGGCGAACCACAUAAGCACUCCCUCAGCCACUAUAUGAAAGUUACCGGGGGCAUAUAGGGUUAGCCUCCCCGAUCCCCUUCGUCGCGUUUUGUCUCCUUCAUCGCUAGCCUUAGCCAAGUUCGCGAGCAAUUUCUUGCUCCUCUACGCACCAUAUUCUCAAAGUCCAGCAGAUCGAUAGCCUUCGGAUCCGGCUGCGGCCAUGGGGGCCACAUCGGAGCAGGUGGGAGCCAUGGGGGUGCGCCUCCGAGCAAGCGCUCCAGCUACCCGUCGCUCCCGCAACUUCACGUGCAGGCCCGAAGCUAGAGCAACGUCGCGCUGUGGAGCGACGAGGACGGAGAUCGCAAGGUGGCGCAGUGCAAGCAGGAGCAGGACCGUGACCGCCUCUCCCAGACCAGUGGGGGGGGGGGGCGCUGGCCGCACGUAAUGCAGACCUGCGAGACCAUGGCGGCUCUUCUAGUGGUCAAGAUGCUAAGCGCCGCUGGGAGGAAGCCCGAGAGGAGCACAUGAACGCGUCGAUACAAAGCACCUCUGCCGUAAAGUUCUACCCCAACAUCGAGGACACCCAGCAUCUCAACGAGCUCGGUCCAUGAAGCCUAGGGUUUAGAGUUUCGUUUAUCUAGGGUUUGGUUUGUAAUUUGUAUGAACUCUGUUUGAUGUUCGUCUCCGUUUGUGAAAUGUGUUUGACGAAUUGCCACAUGAUCUCACUGAACAAAUUCUCGCGUGAAGUAGUUUUUCGAAUUACCCAGUACUGUUUUACGUAUAUGUUCUGCUUGAUGAAUUUGCAACCCGUAAAAGCAGUUUCAAGGGUACCGAAACUGGUUUUACGUUUGGGCACUGAUCUGCGCCGGUGCGCCGGCCGAACACUUAGGCCGUUCGUACCGUGAACAUGCGAUACAUUCCAUAAUAGCCGCACGAUUGCUUCUUCCCCCAAUUGCUUCGCUGGUAAAAAAAAGAAGUCAUGUCGUCUGUUCAUCCCCACUGCCCCGUGAUCUCCCAUACGCCAGCCAGCUCGCUGUUGGAAAUAUGCCCUAGAGGCAAUAAUAAAUAGGUUAUCAUUAUAUUUCCUUGUUCAUGAUAAUCGUUUAUUAUCCAUGCUAGAAUUGUAUUGAGAGGAAACUCAGAUGCAUGUGUGGAUACAUAGACAACACCAUGUCCCUAGUAAGCCUCUAGUUGACUAGCUCGUUGAUCAAUAGAUGGUCACGGUUUCCUGACCAUGGACAUUGGAUGUCGUUGAUAACGGGAUCACAUCAUUAGGAGAAUGAUGUGAUGGACAAGACCCAAUCCUAAGCCUAGCACAAGAUCGUGUAGUUCGUUUGCUAAGAGCUUUUCUAAUGUCAAGUAUCAUUUCCUUAGACCAUGAGAUUGUGCAACUCCCGGAUGCCGUAGGAAUGCUUUGGGUGUACCAAACGUCACAACGUAACUGGGUGACUAUAAAGGUGCACUACAGGUAUCUCCGAAAGUGUCUGUUGGGUUGGCACGAAUCGAGACUGGGAUUUGUCAUUCCGUGUAAACGGAGAGGUAUCUCUGGGCCCACUCGGUAGGACAUCAUCAUAAUGUGCACAAUGUGAUCAAGGAGUUGAUCACGGGAUGAUGUGAGUUACGGAACGAGUAAAGAGACUUGCCGGUAACGAGAUUGAACAAGGUAUCGGGAUACCGACGAUCGAAUCUCGGGCAAGUACCAUACCGAUAGACAAAUGGAAUUGGAUACGGGAUUGAUUGAAUCCUUGACAUCGUGGUUCAUCCGAUGAGAUCAUCGAGGAGCAUGUGGGAGCCAACAUGGGUAUCCAGAUCCCGCUGUUGGUUAUUGACCGGAGAACAUCUCGGUCAUGUCUGCAUGUCUCCCGAACCCGUAGGGUCUACACACUUAAGGUUCGGUGACGCUAGGGUUAUAGAGAUAUUAGUAUGCGGUAACCCAAAAGUUGUUUGGAGUCCCGGAUGAGAUCCCGGACGUCACGAGGAGUUCCGGAAUGGUCCGGAGGUAAAGAUUUAUAUAUGGGAAGUCUUAUUUUGGUCGCCGGAAAAGUUUCGCACUUUAUCGGUAUUGUACCGGGAGUGCCGAAAGGGGUCCGGGGGUCCACCAGCCCCGGGGGGCCACAUGGGCUGUAGGGGGUGCGCCUUGGCCUAUAUGGGCCAAGGGCACCAGCCCCAAGAGGCCCAUGCGCCAAGAGAUAAGGAAAAGGGAGAGUCCUAAAGGGGGAAGGCACCUCCGAGGUGCCUUGGGGGGGAAGGACUCCUCCCUGGCCGCACCCUUCCUUGGAGGAAGGGCCAAGGCUGCGCCCCCCCUCUCCCUUGGCCCUAUAUAUAGUGGGGGGAAGGGAGGGCAGCAAAACCUAAGCCCUGGCGCCUCCCUCUCCCUCCUGUGACACCUCUUCCUCCCCGCUUGCGCUUGGCGAAGCCCUGCCGGGAUCCCGCUACUUCCACCACCACGCCGUCGUGCUGCUGGAUCUCCAUCAACCUCUCCUCCCCCCUUGCUGGAUCAAGAAGGAGGAGACGUCGCUGCUCCGUACGUGUGUUGAACGCGGAGGUGCCGUCCGUUCGGCGCUAGGAUCAUCGGUGAUUUGGAUCACGACGAGUAAGACUCCAUCAACCCCGUUCUCUUGAACGCUUCCGCUCGCGAUCUACAAGGGUAUGUAGCUGCACUCCCCUUCCCCUCGUUGCUAGAUUACUCCAUAGAUUGAUCUUGGUGAUGCGUAGAAAAUUUUGAAUUUCUGCUACAUUCCCCGACAGUGGCAUCAUGAGCUAGGUCUAUGCGUAGUUUCUAUGCACGAGUAGAACACAAAGUAGUUGUGGGCGUAGAUGUUGCCAAUUCUUCUUGCCGCUACUAGUCUUAUCUUGUUUCGGCGGCAUUGUGGGAUGAAGCGGCCCGGACCGACCUUACACGUACGCUUACGUGAGAUAGGUUCCACCGACUGACAUGCACUAGUUGCAUAAGGUGGCUAGCGGGUGUCUGGCUCUCCCACUUUAGUCGGAACGGAUUCGAUGAAAAGGGUCCUUAUGAAGGGUAAAUAGAAAUUGGCAUAUCACGUUGUGGUUUUACGUAGGUAAGAAACGUUCUUGCUGGAAACCUAUACAAGCCACGUAAAAACUUGCAACAACAAUUAGAGGACGUCUAACUUGUUUUUGCAGCAUGUGCUAUGUGAUGUGAUAUGGCCAGAAGAUGUGAUGAAUGAUAUAUGUGAUGUAUGAGAUUGAUCAUAUUCUUGUAAUAGGAAUCACGACUUGCAUGUCGAUGAGUAUGACAACCGGCAGGAGCCAUAGGAGUUGUCUUUAUUUUUUGUAUGACCUGCGUGUCAUUGAAUAACGCCAUGUAAAUUACUUUACUUUAUUGCUAAGCGCGUUAGCCAUAGAAGUAGAAGUAAUCGUUGGCGUGACAACUUCAUGAAGACACAAUGAUGGAGAUCAUGAUGAUGGAGAUCAUGGUGUCAUGCCGGUGACAAAGAUGAUCAUGGUGCCCCGAAGAUGGAGAUCAAAGGAGCAAAAUGAUAUUGGCCAUAUCAUGUCACUAUUUGAUUGCAUGUGAUGUUUAUCAUGUUUUGCAUCUUAUUUGCUUAGAACGACGGUAGUAAGUAAGAUGAUCCCUCACUAAAAUUUCAAGAGACGUGUCCCCCCUAACUGUGCACCGUUGCGAAGGUUCGUUGUUUUGAAGCACCACGUGAUGAUCGGGUGUGAUAGAUUCUAACGUUCGAAUACAACGGGUGUUGACGAGCCUAGCAUGUACAGACAUGGCCUCGGAACACAUGCGAAACACUUAGGUUGACUUGACGAGCCUAGCAUGUACAGACAUGGCCUCGGAACACAAGAGACCGAAAGGUCGAGCAUGAGUCGUAUAGAAGAUACGAUCAACAUGGAGAUGUUCACCGAUGAUGACUAGUCCGUCUCACGUGAUGAUCGGACACGGCCUAGUUUGACUCGGAUCAUGUGUCACUUAGAUGACUAGAGGGAUGUCUAUCUGAGUGGGAGUUCAUUCAAUAAUCAGAUGAACUUCAUUAUCAUGAACAUAGUCAAAAGGUCUUUACAAAUUAUGUCAUACGCUUUAGUUCUACUGUUUAAGAUAUGUUCCUAGAGAAAAUUUAGUUGAAAGUUGAUAGUAGCAAUUAUGCGGACUGGGUCCGUAAACUGAGGAUUGUCCUCAUUGCUGCACAGAAGGCUUAUGUCCUUAAUGCACCGCUCGGUGUGCUGAACCUCAGCGUCGUUUGUAGAUGUUGCGAAACAUCUGACAUACACGUUUUGAUGACUACGUGAUAGUUCAGUGCGUAAUGCUAACAGUUUAGAAUUGUGGCACCAAAGACGUUUUUGAAACGUCGCAGAACAUAUGAGAUGUUCCGAAGAUUGAAAUUGGGAUUUUAGACUAGUGCCCACGUCAGGAGGUAUGAGACCUCUGACAAGUUUCUUGAGCCUGCAGACUAAGGGAGAAGAGCUCAAUCGUUGAGCAUGUGCUCAGAUUGUCUGAGUGCCACAAUCACUUGAAUCGAGUGGAAGUUAAUCUCCCAGAUGAGAUAGUGAUGAUUCUCCAUAGUCACUGCCACCAAGCUAGUAGAGCUUCGUGAUGAACUAUAACAUAUCAGGGAUAGACAUGAUGAUCCUUGAGCUAUUCGCGAUGUUUGACACCGCGAAAGUAGAAAUCAAGAAGGAGCAUCAAUUGUUGAUGGUUUGUAAAACCACUAGUUUCUAGAAGGGCAAGGGCAAAAGGGAUACUUCAUGAAACAGCAAAUCAUUUGCUGCUCUAGUGAAGAAACCCAAGGUUGAACCCAAACCCGAGACUAAGUGCUUCUGUAAUGAGGGGAACGGUCACUGAAGCAGUACUACCCUAGAUACUUGGUAGAUGAGAAGGCAGGCAAGGUCGACAGAAGUAUAUUGGAUAUACGUUAUAUGAAUGUGUACUUUACUAGUACUCCCAGCAGCACCAGGGUAUUAGAUACCGGUUCGGUUGCUAAGUGUUAGUAACUCGAAAUAAAAGCUGCGGAAUAAACGGAGACUAGCUAAAGGUGAGAUGACGAUAUGUGUUGGAAGUGUUUCCAAGGUUGAUGUGAUCAAGCAUCGCAUGCUCCCUCUACCAUCAAGAUUUGGUGUUUGCGUUGAGCAUAAACAUGAUUGGAUUAUGUUUAUCGCAAUACGGUUAUUCAUUUGAGGAGAAUAAUAGUUACUCUGUUUAUUUGAAUAGUACCUUCAAUGGUCUUGCACCUAAAAUGAAUCUCGAUCGCAGUGAUACACAUGUUCGUGCCAAAAGAUAUAAAAUAGUAAUGAUAGUACCACAUACUUGUGACACUGCCAUUUGAGUCAUAUUGGUAUAGAACGCAUGAAGAAGCUCCAUGUAGAUGGAUCUUUGGACUCACUCGUUUUUGAAAAGAUUGAGACAUGCGAACCAUGCCUAUUGGUAUAUAUGCAUGAAGAAACUCCAUGCAGAUGGAUCGUUUGGACUCACUUGAUUUUGGAUCACUUGGGACAUGCAAAUCAUACCACAUGAGUAAGAUGACUGAAAGGCCUCGUUUUCAGUAAGAUGGAACAAGAGAGAAACUUGUUGGAAGUAAUACAUUUGAUGUAUGCAGUCCAAUGAGUGCUGAGGCAUGCAGUGGAUAUCAUUAUGUUCUUACUUCACAGAUGAUUUGAGUAGAUGCUGAGUGUAUUUACUUGAUGAAACACAAGUCUGAAUUAUUGAAAGGUUCAAGUAAUUUCAAAGUGAAGUUGAAGAUCGUCGUGACAAGAGGAUAAAAUGUCUGUGAUAUGAUCAUAGAGAUGAGUAUCUGAGUUACGAGUUUGGCACACACAAUUAAGACAUUGUGGAAAGUGUUUCACAAUUAAUACCGCCUGGAACACCAUAGUGUGAUGGUAUGUCCGGACAUCAUAGCUGCACCCUAUUGGAUAUGGUGCAUACCAUGAUGUCUCUUAUCGAAUUACCACUAUCGUUUAUGGGUUAGGCAUUAGAGACAACCGCAUUCACUUUAAAAGGGGCACCACGCAAUUCCAUUGAGACGACACCGUUUAGAGAAACCUAAGUUGUCGUCUCUUAAAAGUUUGGGGCUGCGACGCUUAUGUGAAAAAGUUUCAGGCUGAUAAGCUCGAACCCAAAGCGGAUAAAUGCAUCUUCAUAGAAUACCCAAAACAGUUGGGUAUACCUCCUAUUUCAGAUCUGGAAGCAAAAGUGAUUAUUUCUAGAAACGGGUCCUUUCUCGAGGAAAAGUUUCUCUCGAAAGAAUUGAGUGGGAGGAUGGUGGAGACUUGAUGAGGUCAUUGAACCGUCACUUCAACUAAUGUGUAGCAGGGCACAGGAAGUUGUUCCUGUGGCACCUACACCAAUUGAAGUGGAAGCUUAUGAUAGUGAUCAUGAAACUUCGGAUCAAGUCACUACCAAACCUCGUAGGACGACGAGGAUGCGUACUACUUCAGAGUAAUGCGUGAUCCUGUCUUGGAAGUCAUGUUGCUAGACAACAAUGAACCUACGAGCUAUGGAGAAGCGAUGGUGGGCCCAUAUUCCGACAAAUGGUUAGAAGCCAUGAAAUCUGAGAUAAAUGGAUCUUUAAGAAGAAGACGAACAUGGACGGUAAUGUUACCGUCUAUGAAGCUCGACUUGUGGAAAAGAGUAUUUUCACAAGUUCAAGGAGUUGACUACGAUGAGAUUUUCUCAUCCGUAGCGAUGCUUAAGUCCGUCGGAAUCAUGUUAGCAUUAGCUGCAUUUAUGAAAUCUGGCAGAUGGAUGUCAAAACAAGUUUCCUUACCAGUUUUCGUAAGGAAAGGUUGUAUGUGAUACAAUCAGAAAGGUUUUGUCGAUCCUAAGGAUGCUAAAAUGUAUGCUAGCUCCAGCGAUCCUUCCAUGGAUUAGAGCAAGCAUCUCGGAGUCAGAAUAUACACUUUGAUGGAGUGAUCAAAGUUUUUGGGUUUAUACAAAGUUUGUUAGAAACUUGUAUUUACAAUAAAGUGAGUAGGAGCGCUACAACAUUUCUGAUAAGUAUAUGUGAAUGACAUAUUGUUGAUCCGAAAUGAUGUAAAAAAUUUCUAGAAAGCAUAAAGGGUUGUUUGAAAGGAGUUUUUCAAAGGAAGACCUGGAUAAAGCUGCUUGCAUAUUGGGCAUCAAGAUCUAUAGAGAUAGAUCAAGGCGCCUGAUGAUACUUUCAAAGAACGCACACCUUGACAUGAUUUUGAAAGAGUUCAAAAUAGAUCAGCAAAGAAGGAGUUCUUGGCCGUGUUACAAGGUGUGAGUAUUGAGUAAGACUCAAGACCUGACCACAGCAGAAGAGAGAGAAAGGACGAAGGUCGUCCCCUAUGCUUCAGACGUAGGCUCUACAGUAUGCUAUGCUGUGUACCGCACAUGGAGUGUGCCUUGCCAUGAGUUGGUCAAGGUGUACAAUAGUGAUCCGGGAAUGGAUCACAUGACAGCGGUCGAACUUAUCCUUAGUAGCUAGUGGACUAAGGAAUUUUCUCGAUUAUGGAGGUGAAAAGGAGUUCGUCGUAAAGGGUUACGUCGAUGCGAACUUUGACACUAAUCCGGAUGACUCUGAGUAGUAAACCGGAUUCGUAUAGUAGAGCAGUUAUUUGAAAUGGCUCCAAAUAGCGCGUGGUAGCAUCCACAAGAUGACAUAGAUAUUCGUAAGGCACACACAGAUCUGAAAGGUUCAGACCCGUCGACUAAUAACCUCUCUCACAAGCAUAACAUGAUCAAACCAGAACUCAUUGAGUGUUAAUCACAUAGUGAUGUGAACUAGAUUGUUGACUCUAGUAAACUCUUGGGUGUUGGUCACAUGGUGAUGUGACCUGUCAGUGUUAAUCACAUGGUGAUGUGGACUAGAUUAUUGACUCUAGUGCAAGUGGGAGACUGUUGGAAAUAUGCCCUAGAGGCAAUAAUAAAUAGGUUAUUAUUAUAUUUCCUUGUUCAUGAUAAUCGUUUAUUAUCCAUGCUAGAAUUGUAUUGAGAGGAAACUCAGAUGCAUGUGUGGAUACAUAGACAACACCAUGUCCCUAGUAAGCCUCUAGUUGACUAGCUCGUUGAUCAAUAGAUGGUUACGGUUUCCUGACCAUGGACAUUGGAUGUCGUUGAUAACGGGAUCACAUCAUUAGGAGAAUGAUGUGAUGGACAAGACCCAAUCCUAAGCCUAGCACAAGAUCGUGUAGUUCGUUUGCUAAGAGCUUUUCUAAUGUCAAGUAUCAUUUCCUUAGACCAUGAGAUUGUGCAACUCCCGGAUGCCGUAGGAAUGCUUUGGGUGUACCAAACGUCACAACGUAACUGGGUGACUAUAAAGGUGCACUACAGGUAUCUCCGAAAGUGUCUGUUGGGUUGGCACGAAUCGAGACUGGGAUUUGUCACUCCGUGUAAACGGAGAGGUAUCUCUGGGCCCACUCGGUAGGACAUCAUCAUAAUGUGCACAAUGUGAUCAAGGAGUUGAUCACGGGAUGAUGUGAGUUACGGAACGAGUAAAGAGACUUGCCGGUAACGAGAUUGAACAAGGUAUCGGGAUACCGACGAUCGAAUCUCGGGCAAGUACCAUACCGAUAGACAAAGGGAAUUGGAUACGGGAUUGAUUGAAUCCUUGACAUCGUGGUUCAUCCGAUGAGAUCAUCGAGGAGCAUGUGGGAGCCAACAUGGGUAUCCAGAUCCCGCUGUUGGUUAUUGACCGGAGAACAUCUCGGUCAUGUCUGCAUGUCUCCCGAACCCGUAGGGUCUACACACUUAAGGUUCGGUGACGCUAGGGUUAUAGUGAUAUUAGUAUGCGGUAACCCGAAAGUUGUUAGGAGUCCCGGAUGAGAUCCCGGACGUCACGAGGAGUUCCGGAAUGGUCCGGAGGUAAAGAUUUAUAUAUGGGAAGUCUUAUUUUGGUCGCCGGAAAAGUUUCGCACUUUAUCGGUAUUGUACCGGGAGUGCCGAAAGGGGUCCGGGGGUCCACCAGCCCCGGGGGGCCACAUGGGCUGUAGGGGGUGCGCCUUGGCCUAUAUGGGCCAAGGGCACCAGCCCCAAGAGGCCCAUGCGCCAAGAGAUAAGGAAAAGGGAGAGUCCUAAAGGGGGAAGGCACCUCCGAGGUGCCUUGGGGGGGAAGGACUCCUCCCUGGCCGCACCCUUCCUUGGAGGAAGGGCCAAGGCUGCGCCCCCCCUCCCUUGGCCCUAUAUAUAGUGGGGGGAAGGGAGGGCAGCAAAACCUAAGCCCUGGCGCCUCCCUCUCCCUCCCGUGACACCUCUUCCUCCCCGCUUGCGCUUGGCGAAGCCCUGCCGGGAUCCCGCUACUUCCACCACCACGCCGUCGUGCUGCUGGAUCUCCAUCAACCUCUCCUCCCCCCUUGCUGGAUCAAGAAGGAGGAGACGUCGCUGCUCCGUACGUGUGUUGAACGCGGAGGUGCCGUCCGUUCGGCGCUAGGAUCAUCGGUGAUUUGGAUCACGACGAGUACGACUCCAUCAACCCCGUUCUCUUGAACGCUUCCGCUCGCGAUCUACAAGGGUAUGUAGAUGCACUCCCCUUCCCCUCGUUGCUAGAUUACUCCAUAGAUUGAUCUUGGUGAUGCGUAGAAAAUUUUGAAUUUCUGGUACGUUCCCCAACACUCGCCGGCCGCCCUCGUCCACGACGCUGCCGUCCUCGUCGCAGCCGUCCGCCCUCGUCCCGCCGGCCACCGUCCUCGUCGCAGCCGUCCGCCCUCGUCCCCGCCGGCCACCAUCCUAGUCACCAGCCCCAACCACCGCCAGUCGUCCUUGUUGCUUUGCCCCGUGCAACAGCCACACCCCGCGGCUGAAGCUCUUGUUGAGACCGUUGUUGCUCCGGUUGCGAUGACUGGAGUUCGCCGGCAUGCUCGCCGCCGCUCAUCCCCGGUGUGCAGCUUGCAACAAAAAAUCGAGCACCGGGGGAGAUGCCCAGUGCUACAACCAACGACCAAAAAAGCUACAACUAGCGAUAGGAAAAGCUUUAACCGGCUACGAAAAAAGGUUCAACCAGUAUACGACUGAAGCUAUGGAUGACCAAGUUAAAACCGGUGACAGAAAAAGCUUCAUCUAGCGACGAAAAAAGCUUCAUCCAACUACAAAAAAAGUUUCAACCGUGGAAACGAAGCCAUGGACGAAAAAUAAAAAGUUGCAACCGACAGUUAUAAAAGUUACAACCGCAUUGAAAAAAGCUUCAAACUUCUUAUCUCAGCUGCGACCCCGCGAUGACGAUGAUGCCGUUUUGCUGCAACCGUAGUAGAUUUUUGCUACCACCGGCGAUUGAAUUUGCUACAACCGGUUCCAGCAAAAUUUCGCCGCGGGGUGUACUCCUGCCAUGGCUGGUUGCAGCUCCGGCGUGGCCGGGUCCGGCGAGGUAGGUAGAGCUCAAAUGCAUGCGGAUCCGCGCGGAUCUAGUCGAGGGCGGCCAGAUCGGCUGAUUCCCAUGAUGGCAGCGCCCCUGGGAGGCCUCCGGCGCGGGCGACGGAUUGACCAUGGCAACAGGGAGAGAGAAGAGAGAGAUGACGGAGAAGAAGAAGAGAAAAGGCAGGAGGGAGAAGACGCACGUGGGCGGCCCCCCUAUCGUACGUGUCGCUAAGCGAGUCGCUGGGCGCAUUUGCGCGUGGACGCGACUGGCCGAAGUUUCGGCCGGUGCGCCGUUGCCAAACAAUUCCCUUUACGUUUUGGGAUUUUGGGAGAUUUGCUAGAGCUGCUCUAACCAACAGAAAUAGGCGCAACUGGCCGACAUGCUGCACCUGAGUUUGGUCGGGUGGAUUUUGACCGCAGUUCCUCCAUGCCUAACUGGCCGAGGUUUCAGUUGACCGUGUGACCAAAAACAGAUGAACGACUCUGAACUGAAGAGGGCGUUGCAAGUCAGCCAUGCUCCAGGGAAAUCAACAUUGUCGUUGUAUGCGGCAACCGAGGUCCAAAUUCGUUCAACACAGAUAAACGUGACCCAUGAACACUUCACUCAAAAGAGCAACUCCCCAAAAGCAGUUGUGAAACACUCGAUGGAAGCCAAGAAUCCCCGCAUUAACGCCAAACUACGCACACAAAAGCCCAAGCAGCCUAUAAGAACUGUACAAGAGGAAUGUAUCCGGUCUGGAAUAAAAUCAAAAUCUAAAGCCCAACUUAUGUUAUGUAAUAUUCGGUGUUGAUCUGUCAAUUUUGGUUUCAGAAUUAUGUUUUGAAUUUUGACUUGAAAUUUAGUGGCAACCUAUAUUGAUGUUGUGUGAAUAUCCUAUUUUUCAGAAUUUUUUAAAAUUUUAAAAUGUGCAAGAUGAGUUUGGUGCACCGGUAUCACCACAAGCACCGGUGCACCAAAUAUUCUCCCACUGGAUAAGAAGAAUAUGUAGGGCGCGGCUAUGCACGGGAGCUAUGUCUCGCCCGUACCGACAGGUAAUAGAUCUCGUCUACAGCGUGGUGCUAUUGGGUCGGCUCAAUACUAUACUUGUCUUUUCUCUCUUUGUUUUUUCACCGUUUGGCAUCGGGUUUCUUCAGUUUUGCUUGCUUGCUUCUUUCUUUACUUUUAUUUUAUUUUAUUUUUAGCAUAUGUCUAUUUUUUACACAUAAUACAUUUCUUUAUACAUCUAGAAUAUGUUUUUGACAUCUUUAAUAUUUUCUGAAUGCAUUUUAAAUAAUUUUCUAAAAUAUGUUCUGAUGUCUAUUUUUUUCAUACCUAGUACUUUUUUGUAUAAAAUAAACUAAAUUUUAUAUAUUGUUAAGAUUUUUUAAAUACAUGAUUAAUUUUUUUUCAAAUAAGUGCUUUGGAGAUUUUUUUAAUAGGUGUUCAAGAUUUUUCUAAAUGAUACGAAACAUUUUCUUAACUAUGUGAACAUUUUUUUAUAUUGUAUAAAUAUUUUUUAAAAGUUCCACAAACAUAUAUUUGGAACGUAUGAAUAUUUUUAUGUGACGUACAUUAUUGAAUGGUAUGAAACAUAUUUGUCUAAAUCACAGAAACAUUACAUUGUGUAAUAUUUAUUUUAAAAGCCACAUGCAUUAUUUUUGGCAUGUUCAACAUGUUUGAAAUGUCACAUACAUUGUUUUUGGAUGGUACACACAUUUUCUACGAGUUGAGCGAACAUUUUCUAAACGUGCGAUGAACAAUUUUUGAAAAAUAACUAAAAUGAUUAUUUCAUAAUAGUAUAUUUACAAAAUGUAAAAAAAAAGGAAAAAGAAGUGUGCGAUGUAAACACGAUGAAACCACAUGACUACUGGUCGGCUCCCUAUAGACGACCCCGACUUCUGUCUUGUAAAGGCAAGACAUAGGUUCAUCCGAUGUUAUUUAUUGCCGAUAGCGACCCCGAGAGGGCCAUCCCAAGAAAUGUAGAUGCAUGGGACGCUGCUUUGUUCGCUCAUUUGUUUCUAUUAUUUAUUUUGUUUUAUACGUUUAAUUAUAUUCCAAAGUAUCCUAAAAAUAAAUAUUUAUAUUUGAAAAGUUUACGCCAUGUCAAAAAUACAUCCAUCCUUAGUAAAGGGAGAAGGAUGGAGGGGGCUCUCUCCCCUCCCAUCUGUUGGUGCCAGAACGUCGAAGGAGGAACUGUGUCACCACCAUUGUCUCCAACGACUUCACCAAUGUUUCCGCCAUCAUCUUCAUGCUUAGUACACGAGUUUCUCCAUCCAUGAACCUCUGUAAUCCAUUGGUAAAUAUUUAUGUCUUGUGCUAUGGAUUAUUUUCUCAUGAAUUACUGCAUCUUUAUGCCUAUGUUUGAGUAAUGAAUUGUUCCAUGAUAUCGAUGAAAUAAUAUAAUAUCUGGUUCAUUGUUGGUUUCUGUGCCAUCUUAUUUUUCUUGUGUAGGAGUGCACACGUGCAUAAGGGGGGGGGGGGAGCAUUUAAGAUGCUGCACUCUUUUAUGAUAAAUAUUCGUGCGGAGGACGGAUUGGUGCAAUUGAUUUUGUACCUUAUACCAAGAGCCAGAUGGGAAGCUUCAGGCUAGAGGUUGAACAUCCACACAUUGUGAAGGAAAUAUGCCCUAAAGGCAAUAAUAAAGUUAUUAUUUAUAUUUCCUUAUAUCAUGAUAAAUGUUUAUUAUUCAUGCUAGAAUUGUACUAACCGGAAACUUGAUACAUGUGUGAAUGCAUAGACAAAACAGAGUGUCCCUAGUAUGCCUCUACUUGACUAGCUCGUUAAUCAAACAUGGUUAGGUUUCCUGACCAUAGACAUGUGUUGUCAUUUGAUGAACGAGAUCACAUCAUUAGGAGAAUGAUGUGAUGGACAAGACCCAUCCGUUAACUUAGCAUAAUGAUUGUUAAGUUUUAUUGCUAUUGCUUUCUUCAUGACUUAUACAUAUUCCUCUGACUAUGAGAUUAUGCAACUCCCGAAUAACGGAGGAACACCUUGUGUGUGAUACGUCCAUUUUGCAUCAUGCUUUUAUAUCGAUAUUUAUUGCAUUAUGGGCUGUUAUUACACAUUAUGUCACAAUACUUAUGGCUAUUCUCUCUUAUUUACAAGGUUUACAUAAGGAGGGAGAAUGCCAGCAGCUGGAAUUCUGGGCUGGAAAAGGAGCAAAUAUUAUAAACCUAUUCUGCACAACUCCAAAAGUCCUGAAACUCCACGAAAGUUAUUUAUGGAAAUAAUAAAAAAUAUUGAGCGGAAGAAAUACGUCAGGGGGCCCACCUGGCCACGAGGGUGGGGGGCGCCCUACCCCCUGGGCGCGCCCCCUGCCUCGUGGGCCCCCUGUUGGCCCUUCGGUGGCCAUCUUCUGCUAUAUGAGGUCUUUCGUCCGAAGAAAAAUAAUAAGCAAGCUUUCGGGACGAGACUCCGCCGCCACGAGGCGGAACCUUGGCUGAACCAAUCUAGGGCUCCGACAGAGCUGUUCUGCCAGGGACACUUCCCUCCGGGAGGGGGAAAUCAUCGCCAUCGUCAUCACCAACGCUCCUCUCAUCGGGAGAGGGCAAUCUCCAUCAACAUCUUCACCAGCACCAUCUCCUCUCAAACCCUAUUUCAUCUCUUGUAUCCAAUUCUUGUCUCUAAGUCUGGGAUUGGUACCUGUAGGUUGCUAGUAGUGUUGAUUACACCUUGUAGUUGAUGCUAGUUGGUUUAUUUGGUGGAAGAUCAUAUGUUCAGAUCCUAUAUGCAUAUUAAUACUCCUAUGAUUAUGAACAUGAAUAUGUUUUGUGAGUAGUUACGUUUGUUCCUGAGGACAUGGGAGAAGUCUUGCUAUUAGUAGUCAUGUGAAUUUGGUAUUCGUUCGAUAUUUUGAUGAGAUGUAUGUUGUCUAUCCUCUAGUGGUGUUAUGUGAACGUCGACUACAUAACACUUCACCAUUAUUUGGGCCUAGAGGAAGGCAUUGGGAAGUAAUAGGUAGAUGAUGGGUUGCUAGAGUGACAGAGCCUAAACCUUAGUUUAUGCGUUGCUUCGUAAGGGGCUGAUUUGGAUCCAUAUGUUUCAUGCUAUGGUUAGGUUUACCUUAAUACUUUUGUUGUAGUUGCGAAUGCUUGCAAUAGAGGUUAAUCAUAAGUGGGAUGCUUGUUCAAGUAAGAACAGCACCCAAGCACCGGUCCACCCACAUAUCAAAUUAUCAAAGUACCGAACGCGAAUCAUAUGAACGUGAUGAAAACUAGCUUGACGAUAAUUCCCAUGUGUCCUCGGGAGCGCUUUUCUCUAUAUAAGAGUUUGUCCAGGCUUGUCCUUUGCUACAAAAAGGAUUGGGCCACCUUGCUGCACUUUAUUUACUUUUGUUACUUGUUGCUCGUUACAAAUUAUCCUAUCACAAAACUAUCUGUUACCUAUUAUUUCAGUGCUUGCAGAGAAUACCUUGCUGAAAACCGCUUAUCAUUUCCUUCUGCUCCUCGUUGGGUUCGACACUCUUACUUAUCGAAAGGACUACAAUAGAUCCCCUAUACUUGUGGGUCAUCAGUGUGCUAUCAAACGUCACAACGUAACUGGGUGAUUAUAAAGAUGCUCUAGAGGUGUCUCCAAAGGUGUUUGUUGGGUUGGCAUAGAUCGAGAUUAGGAUUUGUCACUCCGAGUAUUGGAGAGGUAUCUCUGGGCCCUCUCGGCAAUGCACAUCAUGAUAAGCCUUGCAAGCAAUGUGACUAAUGAUUUAGUUACAAGAUGAUGCAUUACAGAACGAGUAAAGAGACUUGCCGGUAUUGAGAUUGAACUAGGUAUGAGGAUACCGACGAUCGAAUCUCGGGCAAGUAACAUACCGAUGACAAAGGGAAUAACGUAUGUUGUCAUUGCGGUCUGACCGAUAAAGAUCUUCGUAGAAUAUGUAGGAACCAACAUGAGCAUCCAGGUUCCGCUGUUAUUUAUUGACCGAAGAUGUGUCUCGGUCAUGUCUACAUAGUUCUCGAACCCGUAGGGUCCGCACGCUUAACGCUCGAUGAUGAUUUGUAUUAUGAGUUAUGCGUUUUGGUGACCGAAGAUUGUUUGGGUCCCGGAUGAGAUCACGGACAUGACGAGGAGUCUCGAAAUGGUCAAGAGGUAAAGAUUGAUAUAUUGGAAGAUGGUAUUCAGACACCAGAAUGGUUUCGGAGUGGUUCGGGUAUUUUUCGGAGUACCGAGGGGUUACCGGAACCCCCCGGGGAAGUAUUGGGCCUACAUGGGCCAUAGGGGAGAGGGGAGGCAUCCCACAAGGGGUGGCCGCACCCCCCCCAUGGGGAGUCCGAAUUGGACUAGAGGAGGGGGCGCGCCCCCCUUUCCUUCUCCUCUUCCCUCUCCCUUCCCCUUUCCCCCUCCGUAAGAAAGGAAGGGGGCCGAAUAGGACUUGGAGUCCUAUUCUGUUUCCCCCUAUGGCACGCCCCUCUAGGCCGGCGACCUCCUCCCCUCCUCCUUUAUAUACGGGGGUAGGGGGGCACCCCACAGCACAUCAAUUGUUCUUACCCGUGUGCGGUGCCCCCCUCCACAGUUUACUCCUCCGGCCAUAGCGUCGUAGUGCUUAGGCGAAGCCCUGCGGGGAUCACAUCACCAUCACCGUCACCACGCCAUCGUGCUGACGAAACUCUCCCUCAACCCUCUUCUGGAUCAAGAGUUCGAGGGACAUCAUCGAGCUGAACGUGUGCUGAACUCAGAGGUGUCGUACGUUCGGUACAUGAUCGGUUGGAUCGCGAAGACAUUCGACUACAUCAACCGUGUUAAACUAACGCUUCCGCUUUCAGUCUACGAGGGUACAUGGACACACUCUCCCCAUCUCGUUGCUACGCAUCUCUUAGAUAGAUCUUGCAUGAUCGUAUGAUUUUUUUUGAAAUUGCAUGCUACGUUCCCCAACAGUGGCAUCCGAGCCAGGUCUAUGCGUAGAUGAUAUGCACGAGUAAAACAGAAAGAGUUGCGUGCGAUAAUAGUCAUACUGCUUACCACCAACGUCUUAUUUUGAUUCGGCGGUAUUGUUGGAUGAAGCGGCCUGGACCAACCUUACAUGAUCAUGUUCAUGAGACCGGUUCCACCAACCGACAUGCAACUUGUUUUGCAUAAAGGUGAUGGCGGUUGUCUGUUUCUCCUACUUUACUUGAAUCGAAUUUGAAUACGGCCGGUCCUUGUUGAAGGUUAAAACAGCACACUUGACAAAAAAUCGUUAUGGUUUUGAUACGUAGGUAAGAACGUUUCUUGCUAGAAGCCCGUAGCAGCCACGUAAAACUUGCAACAACAAAGUAGAGGACGUCUAACUUGUUUUUGCAGGGCUUGUUGUGACGUGAUAUGGUCAAGAAAUGAUGUGAUAUACGUUAUUGUAUGAGACGAUCAUGUUUUGUAAAAGUUAUCGGCAACUGGCAGGAGCCUUAUGGUUGUCGCUUUAUUGUAUGAAAUGCAAUCGCCAUGUAAUUGCUUUACUUUAUCUCUAUGCGGUAGCGAUAGUUGUAGAAGCAAUAGUUGGCGAGACGACAAUGACGCUACGAUGGAGAUCAAGGUGUCAAGCCGGUGAAGAUGGAGAUCAUGACAGUGCUUUGGAGAUGGAGAUCAAAGGUACAAGAUGAUGAUGGCCAUAUCAUGUCACAUAUUUUUGAUUGCAUGUGAUGUUUAUCUUUUAUGCAUCUUAUUUUGCUUAGUACGGCAGUAGCAUUAUAAGACGAUCCCUCACUAAAUUUCAAGGUAUAAGUGUUCUCCCUGAGUAUGCACCGUUGCGGCAGUUCGUCGUGCCGAGAUACCACAUGAUAAUCGGGUGUGAUAAGCUCUACGUUCAGAUACAAUGGGUGCAAGACAGUUUUGCACAUGCAGAAUACUUGGGUUAAAUUUGACGUGCCUAGCAUGUACAGACAUGUCCUCGGAACACUGAGACCAAAAGGUCGAACGUGAAUCAUAUAGUAGAUAUGAUCAACAUAGAGAUGUUCACCAUUGAAAACUACUCCAUCUCACGUGAUGAUCAGACAUGGUUUAGUUGAUAUGGAUCACGUGAUCAUUUAGAUGACUAGAGGGAUGUCUAUCUAAGUGGGAGUUCUUUAGUAAUAUGAUUAAUUGAACUUAAUUUAUCAUGAACUUAGUCCUGAUAGUUUUUGCAUAUCAAUGUUGUUGUAGAUCAAUGGUCCGUGCUACCGUUCCCUUGAAUUUUAAUGCGUUCCUAGAGAAAGCUAAGUUGAAAGAUGAUGGUAGCAACUACACGGACUGGGUCCGUAACUUGAGGAUUAUCCUCAUUGCUGCACAGAAGAAUUAUAUCCUUGAAGCACCGCUAGGUGCAAGACCUGCUGCAGGAGCAACUCCGGACGUUAUGAACGUCUAGCAAGCUAAAUCUGAUGACUACUCGAUAGUUCAAUGCGCCAUGCUUUACGGCUUAGAAUCGGGACUUCAAAGACGUUUUGAACGUCAUGGAGCGUAUGAGAUGUUCCGGGAGUUGAAGUUAAUAUUUCAAGCAAAUGCCCGAGUUGAGAGAUAUAAAGUCUCCAACAAGUUCUAUAGCUGCAAGAUGGAGGAGAACAGUUCUAUCAGUGAACAUAUACUCAAAAUGUCUGGGUAUCAUAAUCACUUGACUCAGCUGGGAGUUAAUCUUCCAGAUGAUAGUGUCAUUGACAUAGUUCUUCAAUCAUUGCCACCAAGCUAUAAAGGCCUCGUGAUGAACUAUAAUAUGCAAGGGAUGGAAAAGACAAUUUCCGAGCUCUUCGCAAUGCUUAAGGAUGCGGAGGUAGAAAUCAAGAAGGAGCAUCAAGUGUUGAUGGUUAACAAGACCACUAGUUUCAAGAAAAAGGGCAAAGGUAAGAAGGGGAACUUCAAGAAGAAUAGCAAGCAAGUUGCUGCUCCCGGGAAGAAGCCCAAGUCUGGAUCUAAGCCUGAAACUGAGUUCUUCUACUGCAAAGGGACUAGUCACUGGAUCCGGAACUGCCCCAAGUAUUUGGCGGAUAAGAAGGAUGGCAAAGUGAAAGGUAUAUUUGAUAUACACUUUAUUGAUGUGUACCUUACUAAUGCUCGUAGUAGCGCCUGGGUAUUGAUACUGGUUCUGUUGCUCAUAUUUGCAACUCGAAACAGGGGCAACGGAUUAAACAAAGAUUGGCUAAGGACGAGGUGAUGAUGCGCGUCAGAAAUGGUUCCAAGGUCGAUGUGAUCGUCGUCGGCACACUACCUCUACAUCUACCUUCGGGAUUAGCUUUAGACCUGAAUAAUUGUUAUUUGGUGCCAGCAUUGAGCAUGAACAUUAUAUCUGGAUCUUGUUUGAUGUGAAACGGUUAUUCAUUUAAAUCAGAGAAUAAUGGUUGUUCUAUUUAUAUGAGUAAUAUCUUUUAUGGUCAUGCACCCUUGAUGAGUGGUCUAUUUUUGUUUAAUCUCGAUCGUAGUGAUACACAUAUUCAUAAUAUUGAUGCCAAAAUAUGCAAAGUUAAUAAUGAUAGUGCAACUUAUUUGUGGCACUGCCGUUUAGGUCAUAUUGGUGUAAAGCGCAUGAAGAAACUCCAUGCUAAUGGGCUUUUGGAAUCACUUGAUGCUUGCGAACCAUGCCUCAUGGGCAAGAUGACUAAGACUCCGUUCUCCGGAACAAUGGAGCGAGCCACUGACUUAUUGGAAAUAAUACAUACUAAUCCGAUGAGUGUUGAGGCUCGCGGCAGGUAUCGUUAUUUUCUGACCUUCACAGAUGAUUUGAGCAGAUAUGGGUAUAUCUACUUAAUGAAACAUAAGUCUGAAAUAUUUGAAAAGGUCAAAGAAUUCCAGAGUGAAGUAGAAAAUCAUUGUAACAAGAAAAUAAAGUUUCUGCAAUCUGACCGCGGAGGCGAAUAUUUGAGUUACGAGUUUGGUCUUCAUUUAAAACAAUGUGGAAUAGUUUCGCAACUCACGCCACUUGGAACACCAUAGUGUAAUGGUGUGUCCGAACGUCGUAACCGUACUUUAUUAGAUAUGGUGCGAUCUAUGAUGUCUCUUACCGAUUUACCACUAUCGUUUUGGGGUUAUGCUUUAGAGACAGCUGCAUUCACGUUAAAUAGGGCACCAUCUAAGUCCGUUGAGACGACACCAUAUGAACUGUGGUUUGGCAAGAAACCUAAGUUGUCGUUUCUUAAAGUUUGGGGUUGCGAUGUUUAUGUGAAAAAGCUUCGGCCUGAUAAGCUCGAACCCAAAUCAGAGAAAUGUGUCUUCAUAGGAUACCCAAAAUAAACUGUUGGGUACACCUUCUAUCACAGAUCCGAAGGCAAAAUACUUGUUGCUAAGAAUGGAUCCUUUCUAGAGAAGGAGUUUCUCUCGAAAGAAGUGAGCGGGAGGAAAGUAGAACUUGAUGUGGUAGUUGUACCUUCUCUCGAAUUGGAAAGUGGUUCAUCACAGAAAUCAGUUCCAGUGAUGCCUACACCAAUUAGUGAGGAAGUUAAUGGUGAUGAUCAUGAAAUUUCAGAUCAAGUUACUACCGAUCCUCGUAGGUCAACCAGAGUACGUUCUGCACUAGAGUGGUACGGAAAUCCUGUUCUGGAAGUUAUGUUACUAGACCAUGACGAACCUAUGAACAAUGAGGAAGCGAUGAUGAGCCCAGAUUCCGCGAAAUGGCUUGAGGCCAUGAAAUCUGAGAUGGGAUCCAUGUAUGAGAACAAAGUAUGGACUUUGGUUGACUUGCCCGAUGAUCGGCAAGCCAUACUAAAUAAAUGGAUCUUCAAGAAGAAGACUGACGCUGACGGUAAUGUUACUGUCUACAAAGCUCGGCUUGUUGCGAAAGGUUUUCGACAAGUUCAAGGAGUUGACUACGAUGAGACCUUCUCACCCGUAGUGAUGCUUAAGUCUGUCCGAAUCAUGUUAGCAAUUGCCGUAUUUUAUGAUUAUGAAAUUUGGCAAAUGGAUGUCAAAACUGCAUUCCUUAAUGGAUUUCUUAAAGAAGAGUUGUAUAUGAUGCAACCAGAAGGUUUUGUCGAUCCUAAAGGUGCUAACAAAGUGUGCAAGCUCCAGCGAUCCAUUUAUGGAUUGGAGCAAGCCUCUCGGAGUUGGAAUAUUUGAUAGUGUGAUCAAAGCAUAUGGUUUUAUACAGACUUUUGGAGAAGCCUGUAUUUACAAGAAAGUGAGUGGGAGCUCUGUAGCAUUUCUAAUAUUAUAUGUGGAUGACAUAUUGUUGAUUAGAAAUGAUAUAGAAUUUCUGGAUAGCAUAAAAGGAUACUUGAAUAAGAAUUUUUCAAUGAAAGACCUCGGUGAAGCUGCUUAUAUUUUGGGCAUCAAGAUCUAUAGAGAUAGAUAAAGAUGCUUAAUUGGAGUUCACAAAGCACGUACCUUGAUAGAGUUUUGAAGAAGUUCAAAAUGGAUCAAUCAAAGAAAGGGUUCUUGCCUGUGUUACAAGGUGUGAAGUUGAGUCAGACUCAAUGCCCGACCACUGCAGAAGAUAGAGAGAAAAUGAAAGAUGUUCCCUAUGCCUCAGCCAUAGGUUCUAUCAUGUAUGCAAUGUUGUGUACCAGACCUGAUGUGUGCCUUGCUAUAAGUUUAGCAGAGAGGUACCAAAGUAAUCCAGGAGUGGAUCACUGGACAACAGUCAAGAACAUCCUGAAAUACCUGAAGAGGACUAAGGAUAUGUUUCUUUUUUAUGGGGGUGACAAAGAGCUCGUCAUAAAUGGUUACAUCGAUGGUAGCUUUGACACUGAUCUGGACAACUCUAAGUCGCAAACCGGAUACGUAUUUAUAUUGAAUGGUGGAGCUGUCAGUUGGUGCAGUUCCAAGCAGAGCGUCAUGGCGGGAUCUACAUGUGAAGCUGAGUACAUAGCUGCUUCGGAAGCAGCAAAUGAAGGAGUCUGGAUGAAGGAGUUCAUAUCCGAUCUAGGUGUAAUACCUAGUGCAUCGGGUCCAAUGAAAAUCUUUUGUGACAAUACUGGAGCAAUUGCCUUAGUAAAGGAAUCUAGAUUUCACAAGAGAACCAAACACAUCAAGAGACGCUUCAACUCCAUCCGCGAUCAAGUCAAGGAGGGAGACAUAGAGAUUUGCAAAAUACAUACGUAUCUGAAUGUUGUAGACUCGUUGACUAAGCCUCUUCCAUGAGCAAAACAUGAUCAGCACCAAGACUCCAUGGGUGUUAGAAUCAUUACAAUGUAAUCUAGAUUAUUGACUCUAGUGUAAGUGGGAGACUGAAGGAAAUAUGCCCUAGAGGCAAUAAUAAAGUUGUUAUUUAUAUUUCCUUAUAUCAUGAUAAAUGUUUAUUAUUCAUGCUAGAAUUGUAUUAACCGGAAACUUGAUACAUGUGUGAACACAUAGACAAAACAGAGUGUCCCUAGUAUGCCUCUACUUGACUAGCUCGUUAAUCAAAGAUGGUUAAGUUUCCUGACCAUAGACAUGUGUUAUCAUUUGAUGAACGAGAUCACAUCAUUAGGAGAAUGAUGUGAUGGACAAGACCCAUCUGUUAGCUUAGCAUAAUGAUCGUUAAGUUUUAUUGCUAUUGCUUUCUUCAUGACUUAUACAUAUUCCUGUGACUAUGAGAUUAUGCAACUCGCGAAUACCGGAGGCGAUUCCAUAGAAAGACAUCACGACCCCCUACGGAAAAAAAAGAAUUUGAGUGGACCCUUUUUUUUUCUUUUUUUUAGAAAUCCUAAUUAUGAACACCUUGUGUUCUAUCAAACGUUACAACGUAACUGGGUGAUUAUAAAGAUGCUCUACAGGUGUCUCCGAAGGUGUUUGUUGGGUUGGCAUAGAUCAAGAUUAGGAUUUAUCACUCCGAGUAUCGGAGAGGUAUCUCUGGGCCCUCUAGGUAAUGCACAUCACUAUAAGCCUUGCAAGCAAUGCAACUAAUGAGUUAGUUACGGGAUGAUGCAUUUCAGAAUGAGUAAAGAGACUUGCCGGUAACGAGAUUGAACUAGGUAUGAGGAUACCGACGAUUGAAUCUCGGGCAAGUAACAUACCGAUGACAAAGGGAAUAACAUAUGUUGUCAUUGCGGUUUGACCGAUAAAGAUCUUUGUAUAAUAUGUAGGAACUAAUAUGAGCAUCCAGGUUCUGCUGUUGGUUAUUGACCGAAGAUGUGUCUCGGUCAUGUCUACAUAGUUCUUGAACCCGUAAGGUCUGCAGGCUUAAUAUUCGAUGAUGAUUUGUAUUAUGAGUUAUGUGUUUUGGUGACCGAAGAUUGUUCGGAGUCCCGGAUGAGAUCAUGGACAUGACGAGGAGUCUCGAAAUGGUCGAGAGGUAAAGAUUGAUAUAUUCGAAGAUGGUUUUCGGAAACCGGAAUGGUUUCGGAGUGGUUCGGGUAUUUUUCGGAGUACCGAGGGGUUACCGGAACCCCCCGGGGAAGUAUUGGGCCUACAUGGGCCAUAGGGGAGAGGGGAGGCAGCCCUUAAGGGGUGGCCACGCCCCCCUCCCAUGGGGAGUCCGAAUUGGACUAGGGGAGGGGGCGCGCCUGAAAGGAUCGAGANNNNNNNNNNNNNNNNNNNNNNNNNNNNNNNNNNNNNNNNNNNNNNNNNNNNNNNNNNNNNNNNNNNNNNNNNNNNNNNNNNNNNNNNNNNNNNNNNNNNNNNNNNNNNNNNNNNNNNNNNNNNNNNNNNNNNNNNNNNNNNNNNNNNNNNNNNNNNNNNNNNNNNNNNNNNNNNNNNNNNNNNNNNNNNNNNNNNNNNNNNNNNNNNNNNNNNNNNNNNNNNNNNNNNNNNNNNNNNNNNNNNNNNNNNNNNNNNNNNNNNGACCCUUAGCAAGAAAAGUGGCAGUUUUUAAUUUCUUUAAGUUGAAGUGGAGUUUUAGCACAUGUUUAAACAUUCACAAUACAUAUCAAGCAAGCAUGAUAAGAGUAUAUGAGCAGCGAAAAGUAAAGCAUGCAAAUUGCAAGAAUGUAAAGGGAUGGGAUUGGAGUGUACAAACGCAAUUGGAGACUCGGAGAUUUUUUAUCCGUGGUUCCGAUAGGUGGUGCUAUCGUACAUCCACAUUGAUGGAGACUUCAACCCACGAAGUGUAACGGUUGCGCGAGUCCACGGAGGGCUCCACCCACGAAGGGUCCACGAAGAAGCAACCUUGUCUAUCCCACCAUGGCCGUCGCCCACGAAGGACUUGCCUCACUAGGGUAGAUCUUCACGAAGUAGGCGAUCUCCUUGCCCUUACAAACUCCUUGGUUCAACUCCACAAUCUUGACGGAGGCUCCCAAGUGACACCUAACCAAUCUAGGAGACACCACUCUCCAAAAGGUAAUAGAUGGUGUGUUGAUGAUGAACUCUUUGCUCUUGUGCUUCAAAUGAUAGUCUCCCCAACACUCAACUCUCUCUCAUAGGAUUGGAUUUGGUGGAAAGAUGAUUUGAGUGGAAAGCAACUUGGGGAAGGCUAGAGAUCAAGAUUUAUGUGGUUGGAAUGGAAUAUCGUGAGCUCAGCACAAGUGGAGGUGGUUCUCUCUCAGAAAAUGUAUGUUGGAAGCAAGGUUGGAAAAAGCGGUAGGCGUAAGCGAGGCGGCUGGCCUUCGCCUAGUGCCUAGGCGGUGCUUAAGCGCCCUAGGCGCAGCCUAGGCGGUAAUAUAGAUUCUACUAUCAGGGUGUAUUUGUGGUUAUUAUAUGUGUACUAAUGUUAAUUUAGGGCAGAUAAAUAAGCUAACUACCAACUACUAACAUUUGAAUAUGUGAUGUUUGGCAUUUCAGUGCAAUAUGGCAUGAUUUCUCGCUUGGGUAAACAAUUUGUUGCAUGCACUGCCUAGACUACCAUUUAUGCCCUAGGCGAGGCGUUUGGCCAUUGCCUAGCGCCUAGGCGUGCCUAAGCGCCUCCUAGGCACUGCCUUUUGCAACAAAGGUUGGAAGUGUAGGCAUGUUCUGAUGGCUCUCUCCACGAAUGAAGACUGGGUGGAGGGGUACAUAUAGCCUCCACACAAAAUCUAACCGUUACACACAAAUCACCAAACUCGGUGGGACCGAAUCAAAAAACUCGGUCGGACCGAUUUGGUUCAUAAUGUGAUCGUAAGGAUUUUCGGUGGGACCGACAUGAUCAACUCGGUGGGACCGAUUUCAUUAGGGUUAGGGCAUAACGUAAUCUCGGUGAGACCGAUUACACAAGCUCGGUGGGACCGAUUUUGGUAAUAAGCUAACCAGAGAGUUGGUCAGGCAAACUCGGUGGGACCGAUUCGCUCAUCUUGGUUGGACUGAAACGUUACGAAAGGGAGACAGAGAGUUUGCAUUGCGAACUCGGUGGGACCGAUCGCAUAUCUCGGUGAGACCGAGAUUAUUGCAAUAGGCAACAAAGAGUUUGCAAUCCCAUCUCGGUGAUACCGAGAUCCCUAUCGGUGAGACCGAAUUGAUUAGGGUUUCUGGCAGUGGCUAUGUCAAGAGAACUCGGUGGCGCCGGAUAGAAAGUUUCGGUGGGGCCGAGUUUGACUUUUGGUUUGGGACAUAUGUGGAUGUGGGAAAAUGGUUGAGGGAUUUGGAGCAUAUCACUAAGCACUUUGAGCAAGCAAGCCAUUAAGCAACACCUCAUCCCCUCUUAAUAGUAUGGUCUUUCCUAUGGACUCAAUGUGAUCUUGGAUCACUAAAAAGAACAAUGUAGAGUCCUGAGCUUUGAGCUUGAGCCAAUCCUUUGUCCUUAUGAUCUCGAAGGGGUUCCACAUCCUCUAGUCCAUGCCACUCCAUUGUUGAACUUAUCUGAAGCAUACUAAAUGAAAUCAUUAGUCCAACAAGAGAUAUGUUGACAUUAAUUACCAAAAUCACCCAGGGAGCACUUGUGCUUUCAAUCUCCCCUUUUUGGUAAUUGAUGACAACAUACAUCAAAGCUUUAGAUAAAGAUAUAGAGAAUAACAAGUAAAGCUUUGGAAAGACAUGUAACAUGCAUAGGCCCCCCCUACAUGUAUGAAAUCUUGUAAAUAUGGAAUAUAGGAGCAUGUGAAUGCAUAAGCAUGACAGAGUAAGCAAUGUGUUACAUGUAUCUUGGCUAUAUGCAUCAGAGCAAAUGAUGUGAGUAUAGGAAAUGUACCUUCAUGCUCAUGAGUCCUUCUUGCAAACAGUAUGUACAUCAGCAAGAAAUCCUCAUGCACAUGACUGUGAUGCAUAUACUUACCUUGUGGUCUUGAGUUGGCUUAGGAAGGAAUGAACCUGAGUAAACAAGGUUAGAUAACACAGAUACAUCUACUAGCCAGAGCAAACAAAAGAAACCACAAGAGUACCAAGAUUGGGAUGACAUGUAGAGAGUGAGUAUUAGGUACUCUAUUGGAUAUAGACAUGUCCCCAAAGGUAAGGAUAUGCAAUGAAUUCAAAGAUUUCCUUCCCUUAGAUGUCUUGCUCCCCCUGAAUCUUGCAUGGGAUACUGGGAGAAGAUAGGGAACAGAAAUAAGAGCAAAUGCAACAACCAAAUAUGAACAUGUCUUGAAGGAAAUAUGCCCUAGAGGCAAUAAUAAAGUUAUUAUUUAUUUCCUUAUAUCAUGAUAAAUGUUUAUUAUUCAUGCUAGAAUUGUAUUAACCGAAAAGAUGAUACAUGUGUGAAUACAUAGACAAACAGAGUGUCACUAGUAUGCCUCUACUUGACUAGCUGGUUGAUCAAAGAUGGUUAUGUUUCCUAGCCAUAGACAAAGAGUUGUCAUUUGAUUAACGGGAUCACAUCAUUAGGAGAAUGAUGUGAUUGACUUGACCCAUUCUGUUAGCUUAGCACUUGAUCGUUUAGUAUGUUGCUAUUGCUUUCUUCAUGACUUAUACAUGUUCCUAUGACUAUGAGAUUAUGCAACUCCCGUUUACCGGAGGAACACUUUGUGUGCUACAAAACGUCACAACGUAACUGGGUGAUUAUAAAGGUGCUCUACAGGUGUCUCCGAAGGUACUUGUUGGGUUGGCGUAUUUCGAGAUUAGGAUUUGUCACUCCGAUUGUCGGAGAGGUAUCUCUGGGCCCACUCGGUAAUGCACAUCACUAUAAGCCUUGCAAGCAUUGCAACUAAUGAGUUAGUUGCGUGAUGAUGUAUUACAGAACGAGUAAAGAGACUUGCCGGUAACGGGAUUGAACUAGGUAUUGAGAUACCGACGAUCGAAUCUCGGGCAAGUAACAUACCGAUGACAAAGGGAACAACGUAUGUUGUUAUGCGGUCUGACCGAUAAAGAUCUUCGUAGAAUAUGUAGGAGCCAAUAUGGGCAUCCAGGUCCCGCUAUUGGUUAUUGACCAGAGAGGUGUCUCGGUCAUGUCUACAUAGUUCUCGAACCCGUAGGGUCCGCACGCUUAAACGUUUGUUGACGAUAUAGUAUUAUAUGAGUUAUGUAUGUUGGUGACUGAAUGUUGUUAGGAGUCCCGGAUGAGAUCACGGACAUGACGAGGAGCUCCGGAAUGGUCCGGAGGUAAAGAUUCAUAUAUUGGAUGAUAUGGUUAGGCCAAGGGGUCAGGCCCACGGGGCUAUAAGUCGGUGCAAAAGGAGUUUUGUGGAGGCCAGGGGGCCAAACGCCGGAGACCCUGGCGUCUGGCCCUGAGCCAGACGCCGAGGCCCAUGGCGUCUGGGCCAGACGCCAAGGAUUGUGGCGUUUGGUCCUGGAGUCCAAGUGGGGCUCUUGCCUUUCGGGCAAAACCAACUUUGAGGAGGCUUUUGCUCCAAGUUUCGACCCCAGGGCUCAACAUAUAAAUAGAGGGGCAGGGCUAGCACCAAAGACACAUCAAGAAACACCAAGCCGUGUGCCGGCAACCCCGUCUCCUCUAGUUUAUCCUCCGUCAUAGUUUUUGUAGUGCUUAGGCGAAGCCCCGCGAAGAUUGUUCUUCACCAACACCGUCACCACGCCGUCGUGCUGCCGGAACUCAUCUACUACUUCGCCCCUCUUGCUGGAUCGAGAAGGCGAGGAUGUCACCGAGCCGAACGUGUGCAGAACUCGGAGGUGCCGUGCGUUCGGUACUUGGAUCGUCGGAUCAUGAAGACGUACGACUACAUCAACCGCGUUGAUAAACGCUUCCGCUUACGGUCUACGAGGGUACGUAGACAACGCUCUCCUCUCUUGUUGCUAUGCAUCACCAUGAUCUUGCGUGUGCGUAGGAAUUUUUUUGAAAUUACUACAUUCCCCAACAUGUCUUUCCCCUCUUGAAGACAUGUUUCUCUCUCCUCUUGAACACCAAGCAUCUGGGGCUAAAUGUGAUUCCUCUUUCCCCCUGUUGCAGAACUCUCUCCCCCUGUUAAAGUGAUUAAGCUUUGAUGUGAUCUCUCUCUCUCCCCCUUUGACAUCAAUUUCCAAGAAAGGAUCUUCUAGAGUGAGAGUCAAAAUAGGUUUGGUCCUUGAGACACAGAGCAAAGCAGCAUAGAGAAUAUGAUGCUGGUAGAGGACAAGAAUCAUCGAGUGGAGCUGGAGCAAAAAUGCAGGAUCAAGUGGCAAGUUGUCUUUUCUGCAGUGAAAUCGGUGGCACCGAGUUGUGUGCUUCGGUUGCACCGAAAGGAUUCGGUUGGACCAAAAGCAACAGACCGGUGUGACCGAGUUCAUCACAUAGAAAACACUUGUCACCUCAGCUCACUAGGCAGGUAAAAUCUCACAAGGAUUUGCAAUGAAUUGGAUGCAGGGAAUGCAGAACAAAAAUAAAAAGAAAGAAAGUCUAGAUGAAGUUUGUUUUUGAAAGGGGAAACAAAUAUGCAUGAGACAAAUGCAAGAGCACGGAGAAACACAAGAGAACUUCAUCUAGAAUUGGUCGGCGACAAAGUCACCUAUGUUAGAGUAUAUUGACUUAGGAGUCAAGUGAGGGCACUUGAUCAUAGGUCAUACUCAUCGUUUAAGCUCAAAAUGGGGUUACCAUUUUUCGUUCAAGCAUCUUGAUGUAUUCACAUCUUGUUGAGUUGCUUUGACCCAUGACUUGGAGUAAAGCUUCUCCAAGAUGGAAUAACAUACCUCGGGUGGUGGUGUUGAUCUUGAUCAUGUAGUUGAACUUGUGUGGGUUGCUCAAGGUUGAUGUAGCUCAUCAAGAGUUGGGAGCACCACUUGGAAUUUGAGUUCAUCUACCUACAUGGGUUAGUUUUGCAAGGAAGAGCACUUGUGUAUCCAAAAUGACAAUCAUAAAACUUAAUAUAGAUUUUGUCAAAGGAUAUGUUUGAAGAGUUUCAUGCUUCCUUGUUUUCAACCACCAUUGUGUAGAGACUUGGUGAUGUAGAGAUUGCUCAAGAUGUGAGUGAGUUGCAAUCUCAUGGAUUUAGAUUCAUCCAAGUACCUACAAGGGUUAGAUAGCAUGCAAGGGUGCAAGUAUAUCCAAGACAUAUAAAUAGCAUCAUGAAAGAAAUAUCAAGGAUUAGUCAAAGGCUCAUGCCUUGCAUGUAUCCAAAUGGAGUUCCUACUCCAAGUUUGAAGCAUCAAUGAUGUUCAAUUCUCCUCUCAAACGGCAAAAAACUUUCUCAUCAAGCGGUUUGGUGAAUAUAUCCGCCAAUUGCUUAUCGGUACGAACAUGCUUAAGAUCAGUGUCCCCUUUAGCAACAUGAUCUCGAAUGAAAUGAUGACGAACUCCGAUAUGCCUUGUUCGAGAAUGUUGCACGGGAUUGUGAGCAAUCUUAAUAGCACUCUCAUUGUCACAAAGCAAUGGAACAUGUUUCACAUAUAUCCCAUAAUCUUUAAGAGUUUGGGUCAUCCAAAGUAAUUGUGCACAACAUGAACCAGCGACAAUGUAUUCCGCUUCGGCGGUGGAUAAGGAUACCGAGUUUUGUUUCUUGGAGGACCAAGACACAAGAGAUCUACCAAGAAAUUGACAAGUACCCGAAGUGGACUUUCUAUCAACCUUGUAUCCAGCAUAGUCCGAAUCGGAGUAGCCGACAAGAUCGAAAGAAGACCUCUUAGGAUACCAAAUGCCAAAAUUUGGUGUAUGUAUUAAGUAUCUCACUAUCCUUUUCACAGCCUUAAGAUGACAUUCUUUAGGGGCCACUUGAUAUCGUGCACACAUGCACACACUUAGCAUAAUAUCGGGACGAGAGGCACAUAGAUAUAACAAUGAACCAAUCAUAGAGCGGUAAACUUUUUGAUCAACCGGUUCACCAUCUUUGGUCAAAUCAAGAUGUCCACUAGUAGGCAUGGGUGUAUUCAUACCUUUGCAUUCUUGCAUAUUGAACUUCUUGAAGAAGUCCUUGGUGUACUUUGUUUGAGAAACAAAGGUACGUUACUUAGUUUGCUUGAUUUGCAAACCAAGAAAGAAUUUAAGUUCACUCAGCAUAGACAUCUCGUACUUCUCCGACAUUAGCUUUCCAAACUUCUCACUAAAAUGAGGGUUAGUCGAACCAAAUAUAAUAUCAUCAACAUAAAUUUGGCACACAAAUAGUUCUCCAUUAACCCUUUUAGUAAAAAGAGUAGAAUCUAUUUUUCCAAUUUCAAAGCCUUUUUCAAUAAGGAACUUGGUCAAGCAUUUAUACCACGCUCUAGGAGCUUGUUUGAGACCAUAAAGAGCUUUGUGAAGUUUGUAAACAUGAUUAGGUUUCUUAGGAUUGACAAAGCUGGGAGGUUGCUUAACAUAAACUUCCUCCUCAAUCUCACCAUUUAGAAAAGCACUUUUAAUGUCCAUUUGGUACAAGGUGAUAUCAUGGUGAUUAGCAUAAGCAAGUAAGAUGCGAAUGGACUCAAGUCUAGCAACGGGGGCAUAUGUCUCACCACAGUCCAUACCUUUGACUUGAGUGUAGCCUUGGGCGACGAGACGUGCUUUGUUGCGAACUACUUGUCCAUCUUCAUCUUGCUUGCUGCGAAACACCCAUUUGGUACCAAUGAUGUUGUGGUUGUUGUCGGGCUUCUCGACCAAUGUCCACACUUGGUUUCUGUCAAAGUUGUGUAGCUCUUCAUGCAUGGCGUUUAUCCAAUCCGGAUCUUCCAAUGCUUCUUCAACCUUCAUAGGUUCAAUGCUAGAGAUGAAUGGAUAAUGUUCACAAAAAUUAGCCAAACGAGUUUUAGAGCGAGUGAUUCUCCCAGUUUGGAUAUCAUUGUAGAUUUGCUUGACGGGAUGGUCUUUGGCGACUCUUGCUCGAACUCGUGGGAGCUUUUGCUUUGGUUGGGGUGGAACAUCUUCUUCAUCUUGUCCUUCUUCUUGGCCUUCUUCAUUGUUGACGUUGUCGUUCUCUUGUCGUGGUGGAGAGGGAGUUUUAUGAGGUUCAUCUUGGUGUACUUCCUCAUUUUCUUCAUCUUGGUGUGUCCCACUCGUGGAUGCUUCCAUGUCGACUCUUGGUACACCUUGUCAUGAGGUGGAAGCUUCCACUUGGACGGACGAGGUACUCUCCUUCACCUCCGUUGGACGGAUCUUGCCAAUAGACAAGUCUUGGAUUGCUUCCGAAGGGUCUUUGUCUCCUACAUCAAUUGGCAAUUGCUCUACUUGCGAGCCGUUAGAUUCAUCAAACUUCACAUCUACCGUCUCUUCAACCUUUUGGGUGAAACUGUUGUAGACACGGUAAGUGUGAGAGUUUGAGCCAUAACCAAGUAGGAAACCUUCAUGAGAUUUAGGAGCAAAUUUAGAACGACGAUGCUUAUCAAGAAUGUAGCACUUUGAUAUGAAUACUCGAAAGUAUCCAACUUGGGGUUUGUUACCGGUGAGGAGCUCGUAUGCCGUCUUGCCGAGUAGCUUGUGAAGAUACAAGCGAUUUGUUGCAUGACAAGCUAUCUCAACCGCUUCCGCCCAAAAGUGUUUUGGAGUUUGUACUCAUCAAUCAUCGUUCUUGCCAUCUCAACAAGUGUCAUGUUAUUCCUCUCAACAACUCCAUUUUGUUCAGGCGUGCAUGUAGCCGAGAACUCGUGUGAAAUCCCUUCUUCCUCAAGAAAAGUAUCCACAUUUGCGUUCUUGAACUGCGUUCCGUUGUCGCUCCGAACCUUCUUGAUCUUCACUUCAAAUUGAUUUUGGGCCUUCCUAGUGAAGUUUUUGAAGAUCUUUUGGACCCGCGAUUUAUCAUCAAGAAAGAACACCCACGUAAAUCUUGAAAAAAUCAUCGGCUAUGACUAGACCAAAUGAGUUACCACCGAGACUCUUGUAGGCAUUGGGACCAAAGAGAUCCAUGUGAAGUAGCUUGAGCGGUCUUCUCGUGGUCAUGAUGUUCUUCACGGGGUGACUUCCUCCAACUUGUUUUCCUGCUUGACAAGCACUACAAAGUCUAUCCUUGUCAAAUAUAACAUCUUUUACUCCAAGGAUAUGAUCACCUUUAAUAAGCUUAUCGAGAUUUCGCAUGCCCACAUGACCUAACCUUCUAUGCCAGAACCAGCCUUUAGAAGAUUUAGCAAUUAAGCAAGUUCUAGGUUGAGCCUUUUUAGUGAAAUCAACAAUGUAAAGAUCACCUCUACGUAUACCAGUAAAGACCAUUGUAUGAUUGUCUCUUCGAAACACUUGGCAAUCUACUUCAGUAAAUAGGACAUUGAAACCGAAAUCAGCAAGUCUAGAUACUGAAAGUAAAUUGUACCCAAGAGAUUCAACGAGCAUGACAUUUUGUAUUGAGCUAUCAUGUGAGAUGGCCACCUUACCGAGGCCAACCACCUUACCCUUUGAGUUAUCACCAAAAGUGACAUACUUUCGAGGGCCAUCAUUUUCAGCAAGCUCACGAAAUAUAUCUUUGUCUCCGGUCAUAUGAUCAGUACAUCCACUAUCAAGGACCCAUUCCUUUCCUCCAGCCAUGUAGUCGCGAAGAUUAGCCAUAAGACCAAAGUGUCUCAUCGCAUCAUCAAGAUCAUAGUCACUAUCAUCAUCCUCAUCAUAGUAUCCAUGUUCAACAUCAUCUUGUAUUUGAUCAAUUCCUAGAUAGGGUAAUUCAUUAGAUAAAUGAUCAUCACAAUGGUCAUCUUUAUGAAUUCUAAUAGCUUCGGAGAUGAUAUUGCUAAUGAUUCCAACAUCUCCUUUGGCACGCAUGAGAUUGGUAAGCUCAAAUAGACAAUCACCAAACUUAGGAUCACUGGAAUUCAUCUUACUCAAGGCAAUAGACUUAUGGAGAAUUUCGUCUAAGUUUUGCAAGGAAUAGUUUGGAAAUCUUUCCUCAAGAAAUCUCCAUAUAGUGUAGGCACAAUCAAGAUUAGGCAAACAUCCAAUCAAGUUUCUAGGCAAGCCUCUAGUGAUAAGAUUAACAGUUCUAAGGUUGCGGAUCAUGUCAAUAGACUCAUCAAGGGUAGGAUGCAAAGGAUCAACAUGAGGUGCACAAGGGCUAGUAAUGUGCUUGUUCAAAUGAUAUUCAUUGAAAAUCUCAAGCGUCUAAGACUCCCCAACGUAGACUCAUCCAUCUUCCUCCAAUGGUGAUUAAACCAAAGCAAUGGAAACCUGGCUCUGAUACCAAUUGAAAGGAUCGAGAAGAGGUGUCUAGAGGGGGGUGAAUAGACCCUUAGCAAGAAAAGUGGCAUUUUUUAAUUUCUUUAAGUUGAAGUGGAUUUUUAGCACAUGUUUAAACAUUCACAAUGCAUAUCAAGCAAGCAUGAUAAGAGUAUAUGAGCAGCGGAAAGUAAAGCAUGCAAAUUGCAAGAAUGUAAAGGGAUGGGAUUGGAGUGUGCAAACGCAAUUGGAGACUCGGAGAUUUUUUAUCCGUGGUUCCGAUAGGUGGUGCUAUCGUACAUCCACAUUGAUGGAGACUUCAACCCACGAAGGGUAACGGUUGCGCGAGUCCACGGAGGGCUCCACCCAUGAAGGGUCCACGAAGAAGCAACCUUGUCUAUCCCACCAUGGCCGUCGCCCACGAAGGACUUGCCUCACUAGGGUAGAUCUUCACGAAGUAGGCGAUCUCCUUGCCCUUACAAACUCCUUGGUUCAACUCCACAAUCUUGACGGAGGCUCCCAAGUGACACCUAACCAAUCUAGGAGACACCACUCUCCAAAAGGUAAUAGAUGGUGUGUUGAUGAUGAACUCCUUGCUCUUGUGCUUCAAAUGAUAGUCUCCCCAACACUUAACUCUCUCUCAUAGGAUUGGAUUUGGUGGAAAGAUGAUUUGAGUGGAAAGCAACUUGGGGAAGGCUAGAGAUCAAGAUUUAUGUGGUUGGAAUGGAAUAUCUUGACCUCAACACAAGUGUAGGUGGUUCUCUCUCAGAAAAUGUAUGUUGGAAGUGUAGGCAUGUUCUGAUGGCUCUCUCCACGAAUGAAGAGUGGGUGGAGGGGUAUAUAUAACCUCCACACAAAAUCUAGCCGUUACACACAAAUCACCAAACUCGGUGGGACCGAAUCAGAAAACUCGGCCGGACCAACUUGGUUCAUAAUGUGACUGUAAGGAUUUUCGGUGGGACCGACAUGAUCAACUCGGUGGCACCAAUUUCAUUAGGGUUAGGGCAUAACGUAAUCUCAGUGAGACCGAUUACACAAACUCGGUGGGACCGAUUUUGGUAAUAAGCUAACCAGAGAGUUAGUCAGGAAAACACGGUGGGACCGAUUCGCUCACCUCGGUUGGACCAAAACGUUACGAAAGGGAGACAGAGAGUUUGCAUUGCGAACUCGAUGGGACCGAUCGCAUAUCUCGGUGAGACCGAGAUUAUUGCAAUAGGCAACAGAGAGUUUGCAACCCCAUCUCGGUGAUACCGAGAUCCCUAUCGGUGAGACCGAAUUGAUUAGGGUUUCUGGCAGUGGCUAUGUCAAGAGAACUCGGUGGCGCUGGAUAGAAAGUUUCGGUGGGGCCGAGUUUGACUUUUGGUUUGGGACAUAUGUGGAUGUGAGAAAAUGGUGGAGGGCUUUGGAGCAUAUCACUAAGAACUUUGAGCAAGCAAGCCAUUAAGCAACACCUCAUCCCCUCUUAAUAGUAUUGGCUUUCCUAUGGACUCAAUGUGAUCUUGGAUCACUAAAAAGAACAAUGUAGAGUCCUGAGCUUUGAGCUUGAGCCAAUCCUUUGUCCUUACCAUCUCGAAGGGGUUCCACAUCCUCUAGUCCAUGCCACUCCAUUGUUGAACUUAUCUGAAGCAUACUAAAUGAAAGCAUUAGUCCAACAAGAGAUAUGUUGACAUUAAUUACCAAAAUCACCCAGGGAGCACUUGUGCUUUCAACGCCCCCUUUCCUUCUUCUCUUCCCUCUCCCUUCCCCUUUCCCCCUCCAUAAGAAAGGAAGGGGGGCGAAUAGGACUUGGAGUCCUAUUCGGUUUCCCCCCAUGGCGCGCCCCUCUAGGCCGGCGGCCUCCUCCCCUCCUCCUUUAUAUACGGGGGCAGGGGUUACCCCAUAGCACAUCAAUUGUUAUUAGCCGUGUGCGGUGCCCCCUCCACAGUUUACUGCUCCGGUCAUAGCAUCGUAGUGCUUAGGCGAAGCCCUGCGCGGAUCACAUCACCAUCACCGUCACCACGCCGUCGUGCUGACAAAACUCUACCUCGACCCUCUGCUGGAUCAAGAGUUCGAGGGACGUCAUCGAGCUGAAUGUGUGCUGAACUCGGAGGUGCGGUACGUUCGGUACUUGAUUGGUUGGAUCGUGAAGACGUUUGACUACAUCAACUGUGUUAAACUAACACUUCUGCUUUCGGUCUACGAGAGUACGUGGACACACUCUCCCCUCUUGUUGCUAUGCAUCUCCUAGAUAGAUCUUGCGUGAUCGUAGGAAUUUUUUUGAAAUUGCAUGCUACGUUCCCCAACACAUUGUACCUUACACCAAGAGUUAAGAACACCACAAGAGUAGGGUAUUAACUUCACCGUAGAGCGCCCGAACCAGUAUAAAUCCUUGAGUGUACUCCUACCUGCAUCGUUCGGUAGAUACAAUUGCCUCUACAUUCCUCCCUCCCUUGUAUUUUAGGAUUAUAUCCAUGACAGUUGGCCCCAACCAUGGGGCCAGCGUCUAACGAAGAUAUGGUGUGGUUGGCUUCAUCUUCGGUUCUGGCUGGCAGCAUCCGCUUUGGGAAGCUCGAGUUCCCCAUCGAUGGAUCGACAUGGCACCCUAAUGCCCCGCCGAAUAGCGCUGACCUACUGACACGCGGGAGCAUUCACUACCGGGCCAAUGGCUCGGGGAUGUUGAGCUUGCAACUCCCGUCAUCACAUCAGUUGGCGCAACCUGAUAACCCACAAGUAUAGGGGAUCGCAACAGUUUUCGAGGGUAGAGUAUUCAACCCAAAUUUAUUGAUUCUACACAAGGGGAGCCAAAGAUUAUUUUUAAGUAUUAGCAGUUGAGUUGUCAAUUCAACCACACCUGGAGAUUAAAUAUGUACAACAAAGUGAUCAGUAGCACAGUAAUAUGAUAGUUUUGAUAGCAGUGGUAACAGUAGAAAUAGUAACGGUAACAGCAGUAACAAUUUUGUAGCAGUUGUAACAACAACAGUAGCAAUAGUAACUUAGCAAGAGCAAUAUGUGGAAAACUCGUAGGCAUUGAAUCGGUGAAUUCGUUGGAUGAUAUUCAUCAUAUAACAAUCAUAACCUAGGGCGACACAGAACCAGCUCCAGUUCAUAAAUAUAAUGUAGGCAUGUAUCCGUAAAUAGUCAUACAUGCUUAUGGAAAAGAGCUUGCAUGACAUUUUUUGUCCUACCCUCCCGUGGCAGCGGGGUCCAUAAGGAAACUAAGGGAUAUUAAGGCCUCCUUUUAAUAGAACCAGAACAAAGCAUUAACACAUAGUGAAUACAUGAACUCCUCAAACUACGGUCAUCACCAGAAAGUAUCCCAAUUACUGUCACCCUAGGGUUUACGGAUCAUAAAACGUAAUGAUGCAGAGCAUCCUACGGUCAUCACCAUGGGCAUUCCAUCACCACCAUGAACCCAUGCACGUACCAUUGAAACCGAGGUUACCUCUUUCCUCUUCGAGCUCCCUUUGGAUUCACAUAAGGAAUGGCUUCUACCUCAAUCGGAAACGUUAUGCAUUCUUAGGUACCAAGGAGAAGACUGUGAGGAAGCAUGGAGGGAUCACCAAGUCCACACGAAGUCUCAAGGAGAAGGAGGAGGAAGGGGAACCACAAGAUGCGGAAGACCGGGACCUCCUGGACACCCGGGUGCCCGAACAAGCGGCCGCGGGGUGGGCAAAGCCCCUGGACACCCCGGGUGCCCCCCCACCUGGGCCUGGGUGCAUCCCCGGGUGCCCGUCCCUCCUACCCCGGGUGCCUGGCCCUUCCCCAGGCGCCACCCCCGGGUGCACAGCCCCUACAGCCACUUGGCCGCGGCCUCCCUGACCGGACCGGGUGCCCGGUCCUCUGCACCCCGGGUGCCCGAACCCCUUUACCCCGGGUGCCCGGACCCGUCCGGUUUGUGCCUGCGUGCACUAAGGGAAAAAUACCCAUGUACCCCAGUUUUCCCCAAUUUCGUCCCUAGCUUAUAAGUAUUCCUCACCUAGCUUGUUGUACAGGUCAGAAAAGUAUUAGAUAGACAAAGAGAGAGCUUUUCUCAUCUUCCUCCUCUUGGAAAUCUAGGCCUCCUCUUGGAGAAGAUCCCCUAGUGGAUUCAAUGCCCCUCUAGGGAAGGAUCCCCAUCAUAGGAUCAUCAAGACCUCACCUCCCUUGUGGAUUUGGGAAGACUUUACCUAGUGCUAUUUUCCUUGAAUUGUUCUUGUAUGCUUGUGGAUCUCAUGUAUGCUACUCUAGUAGAUGUGUUAUUUGGGUUUGUAUGAGUGAUUUCCCUCUUGUGUUCUUGUGUGUUCACCACUUUCCCCCCUCCAAGUGUGAAAAUAUCCCCUCCAGGGUUUCACCCUACAACAUCUUGGUAUCAGAGAAAGGUUGAUUCACAUCUUGGAGUCCCUACCCCCCAUUUUCUAGCUUGAUUUGUUGUUUUUCGUCCUAAUUCAAAAAUCCACACAAAAAUAGCCCCAAAAAAUUUUCACCACAAAAGCAC